RNAcentral lists this long non-coding RNA (66980 nucleotides) under Pelobates cultripes (western spadefoot toad). Lineage: Eukaryota; Metazoa; Chordata; Amphibia; Anura; Pelobatidae. The record is from RNAcentral.
GUCUUUGAGGAAGAAUCCUGGGGGUUUAAGACAGAUGUUGAUGUGUUUAUACGUAUCGUGAUGUCGUAUGAAUAGUAUUGGGAGAAGGUUUGUUAGGGGCACCACGUGAGAUCCUGCAUUGAGGGAUCUGGGAGGUUUAGGUGUAGGAAUGGGAUGAUUUUUGGAUAUGAGUGAGAAGGCAGAAUGAGGCCUUGGGGUAGCGAAUGGACGUACUUGAGUAAGGAUGUAAGUACCUGAAGGUAUGGCUGAGUACCGUGUCAGGAUUUGGUGUCUUCUAGAGCCUGGUGGCCGUAUGACCGAAAGUCUGUGUAGACAAGUAGUAAAGAGAUAACGUAUCCUGGGCGUAAGCCUGAGGGAAGGUAGUAAUGGAGUUGAGACCGCGUGAGGUCUAGUAUUGAAAAGAGAGUGAACUAAACCUUUGUUUAAAGUACAGAGCUUGUUUAAUCGUGGCAGGUUAACUGCGUAGAAACGGUGGAAGCUUAGAUUAAUACAAGGAUCUAAGGGUUUAACCAAGAAAAAUACCAUAGUUAGCAAUAGAUGUGAAGAUAAUUGAUAGAACCUGAUAACUCAAGGUGAUAAAACCAUACCUGUUCCUGUAAUAAAAGGACCUUGAAAUAACAACUUUAAUGCAGAAAAGCAAGAGACCGAUGCAAUCUGUAAAAGCCAAAAGAUGUGACAGCGUGAUUUAUGUGCAAGGAAUAGUACGGAUUAUGUGUAAAGGGUAUAACUUGUAAAUAGUGUUUAAAAAGACUUAUCUGAGUGUUAUUAGGAAAGAGUGUUAUAGCUUGAAUUUAGACACGUAUGAAGUUUAUGAACCGUGGUGAACAUAAUGUUUAUAACAGAAAAAUACUUUAAAUGGUUUAACAAGGUAGAAAAACACAGGGCUGGUAGUUAACCAUAUAAUGUAACCGCAAACUCAUAUGAAGGAAUAAAUAAUAGUAGGACUGUGAUUAGAACUUAUGCCAGCUUAUCUUAAAAGAAUAGAAAUAACCGAAUGUAAAUUAGUAAGAUGGUGUACGUGAAUUAACCAUACGAAUAGGUUGAUGCUGAAACAACCGAACGGAAAAGUGAAUACAGAUAAUAAUGAGUUUAAACAUGAAAUAUUUAUUCGGUUGUUUCCGUAUGAAAAAGCGUAAAACGAUAGCGAAAUGAGCCGAACGUUCGUGCGUUUUUUGGCGCGAAUGGAGAUAUAAACGAAAGCGUGUAUUCGUGAAAAUGCGAAAGAGGGAGCCUACCCCUACGUUUUUAGGCCCGAACGGCGGGGAAAAAGCGAACGCUAAUUCCCACGCCUUGCUUACGUGAACGCGCCGGUCUCGUGACCGGAAGUCGGGUACCUCGACCGGAGGGAAACGGAGUGGAAGGGCCUCGGACGGACGGAGGAUUGCACAGGGGGUCUGGCUGCUGGAAACAGGUACAGUUCUGGCGGGAAGCUGGACCGGAAGUGCUGGUUGCUAAGGACAAUCAGCUGAGCGGCAGCGGUGAGUAGGGGCUGGGAGCUUAAGUAGGGGACUUACUCCUCCCACAAAUUCAGGCCUAAUGGCCUUUCUACAUAUAUAUAAUAAUUCUACGUAUUUAUUUAUGUAAUAAUUUUACAUAAAUUAGUCAUUUUAUUAAUUACAAUUUGCGGGACCUGCCUGACAACCUAGGCCAAAAGUCCAGGGAAUUUAAUUUGCUUGCACUAUAUAUAAACAAAGGAAUAAAUAGGCGGGUGAUGAGGGUGAUAAUAGGUCUCAACUCUAGUGUAGGCAAGCCACUGUACUGAGAUCACUCUAAACCCCUAUACAAAAUAAACACAAUGUCUGAACACUAGUACAGACUACAGGGCGCCACAAACACUAAGACAUAUAGUAGUAUGGUAUAGAAUAAUCCCAUAAAUGAAGAGUAAUCCGUGGAGAUAUAAAAUCCACUUUAUUGGAUUUCAAGCCAUCCAAUCACAGUGCUCUGUGUCAUUUUACACAGCGUGGGAAAGUUCUUUUUAAUUUUCCCACGCUGUGUAAAAUGACACAGAGCACUGUGAUUGGAUGGAUUUCAAGCCAUCCAAUCACAGUGCUCUGUGUCAUUUUACACAGCGUGGGAAAGUUCUUUUGAAUUUUCCCACGCUGUGUAAAAUGACACAGAGCACUGUGAUUGGAUGGCUUGAAAUCCAUCCAAUCACAGUGCUCUGUGUCAUUUUACCCCCCCCCCCAUUAUUGCCCCCACCCGCCGCCCAGGGUGGGGGCCAGGGGGGGCAGUAGGUCCCCCCCCCAUUCUAAUUAUGGCCCCCACCCGCCGCCCAGGGGUGGGGGGGGGGCAGUAGGUCCCCCCCUCAUUCUCACUAUGGCCCCCACCCGCCGCCCAGGGGUGGGGGCCGGGGGGGACAAUAUUAGGUCUCCCCCCUUAUCUUACUGUCGUUUAGGGGUGGGGGCCAAUAGUUGUUUUUUUAUUUAUUUUUACAGUGAGCAGCCACAGGCUGCUCACUGUUUAGUGGACAUGCCCCUACUCGCGGUAUAGCGAGUAGGGGCAUUGGGGAGAUUUUAAUCUCCCUUAUGCUAUUAUGGUGGUCAUAUUGACCCCCAUAGAGUGAGGAGGGGCCUCUGGGGCUUAUGAAGUGGUGGGGAGCACAGCUCCCUGCCGCUUCUAUCUUUACAUAUUACAAGGAGGGAGCUGCGUGCCGGUAGCUCCCUCCUUGUAAUAAACUGCACGAACAAGCGAACACUGAUACACAGUGUUAGUUUGUUUGGCUGAUAUUUCUAUUCACUCAUUCGUCUGUCUGAUGAAUGAAUGAAUAGGUGAAAUUCCCGUUCGCAUGUCCAGGUGUUUCACUGGGCAUGUGCAGGAAUCUCACAGUCUGUCUAGUGUGGGCUGAUGACGUGUCCCACAGGGACUUCAUCUACCCACACAAAGAUGGCGGCGCCCUGAAUAUAGAUCGGGGAAGAAAAUAAGGAUUAAAAAAUAGGUAAUGUGGGGGGCUUAGGGGCAUUUGGGGGUGACUAGGGUGUUAGUUAGAGAUAGUGGAGGCCGGAGGGGGGUUAAAAAAAAAACCAGAAUUCGGCAUGACAGUGCCGCUUUAAACUUACCCAAAUUAUACACGAAAGUCAUUGAAGCGUUGGGGUCCCCCUAUCUCCAAUGAUUACAUAAAUGCAGCAAUAUCGAAGCUAACAGGUGGUAAAGCCCUGGGUCUGGAUGAAUUUGAAAAGGACUAUCACAAAAGAUUCCAGGAAGAAUUGACCACACACUUAGAAACCCUUUCCCAGGAAAUAAUGACUGGACGCUCAAAUGAUAGAGACAUGACCGUGCCAAUAUAGUUUUUAUCCCUAAACCAGGAAAAGAUAAAAUUUUACCUGAGGCUUAUCGGCCUAUCUUCCUAAUCAACCGUGACAGCAAAAUUUAAAACUGAACCCUUUUAAACACACUUAAUCCACGCAGACGAAGUAGGAUUCAUACCGGGCAGGCUGCUCUUCGAGAACACUCGUCGCAAUAUAACUCUACUCUGGAAAUUAGCAUCAUCUUAAACACCAUCAUUUGUGCUUUUCCUCGAUGCUGAGAAAGCAUUUGAUCAAGUAAAAUGGCCAAAUAUGUUUGAGCUUCUGCACCACUUCUGCACCAUGGAAAAUGGCACCCAACUCUCCCCCCUACUCUUCCCUCUCUCCCCCCUACUCUUUGUUCUGCACUCAAAUCCCUACUGCAGGCGAUACGCAAAUACACGACGCGAUAGUGGGAAACCAAGAGUUCCUGGUCUCGGGAUAUGGACGAUGUCCUUCUCACUUUAAUAAACCCUGUAACAUCCACGCAGGCCCAGAUUCCUCUCCUCACAACAUAAAGCGCUAUCUCUGGCUACAAAGUUUGCAUGGGAAAAUCUAGUGCACUUUCCAUAACCCAUUCAGCGGCGGACGUGGCACAGAUUGAGAGCUCCUAUCAUAUACAGACUUCACACUCUUCUAUCAAAUACUUCAAUAUCAGUCUACUGGCCAACCCAUCCCAACUACAUUCACUGAAUUACUCACCCAUGAUAAACACACUAGUAUUCAACAUGGGCAGAUAAACUUCUUUCCUGGAUUGGAAGAAUACAUUCAAUAAAAAUUAUGAAAAACAUUCUCCCUCUAAUUUUUUUCCUAUUCUAAGCCAUACCUCCCUAUUUCGAAACAAGAUCUGACCCCCCUCCAGAAAGCCAUAGAUCGCUUUAUGGGACAAGACAAAAGACAUAGGGUUUCUUGUAACAUAUUAUAUAGACCGAAAGCGAGAGGAGGACUGGGGUUACUCCACCUUCACUUCUAGUACUUGGCUGCUCAGCUAGUGCAAAUAGCUCUCUGGCACUCCCCCCUGACAGUAGAUGUUGACUAAACUUAGAUUCCCUAUUGAUGGGAGCAGACCUCCCGCAAUUCUACACUUGGGCUCUUUUCCGUAUGACUUGCCCAUCUGUGAUCAAUUUCAUCCAGGUCUGAGAUAAGGUCGCUCAUAAAUAUGAGCUGAUCUCUUCCCCCUCCCCUCUCAUCCCUUUAUAUCGCAACAAGGCUUUUGUCCUGGGUAUGAGAGCCAGAGAUUUUAGAGGCAUAGAACAUGCUGGGCUACAGAGAAUUCAUCAGCUUUAUAGUGCAGAGGAAUUUUUUUCUUUGUUGAACUGCAAUAUAGAACAACCCUGUCAGAUUUUUUUCAGAAAUCUCCAAAUCCAAGACUUUUCUAGCCAACUCACUAAUAAAACAGCAGCACAAACUCAAUUUACAUUUUUUUUUAACAUAUAUGCAAUGCGGAAAUUUACCAAAAAGACAUGAUCACCCAGCUCUAUUACCAUCUCUGCUCCACUAGGAAAGAUUGGGGUGAAUUACACUACAUUGAUAAAUAGGAAUUGGAGCUCGGAAAGACUCUAGAGGGUAUUGACUGGCAAAACAUAUGGAAAGCUAACUCUAAAAACUUCCAUCUGUGUCACAGUGUAAGAAGAAUCUUAUAAAAUGAUGUUAAAAUGAUAUACCACACCAGUAAACUUGUAUCACAUGAAGAAAACUCCUAAGGAUCUAUGUUGGAGAGGCUGCAGGUCUAGGGGAACUUACGAGCAUAUGUGGUGGAGCUGCCCAAAACUCUUUUUAUUUUGGUCUGAGGUUAAGGCGCUAGUAUCCCAAAUAUAGUGAAACCAAUUGACAACUUGACUAGGGCAGAACAGCAACUGUUUAACAAAAUUACAUUGGCUGUUAGAAGGGCCCUGGCCGAAACGUGGCUAAAACCUACCAGAGCCUCCAUAAAUAUAGUACUUCAAAAACUCAAAGAGAACUUGUAAUGUUAUUAUUAUAAUGAUUUGUGUCAUAAAAUUAAGCACAAUGAGUUUAAUGCUUUAGAGGCACCACUAUGGGCAGUGUGUAGGAAUCCUUAAGCCAUGUGCUUCUGGCAGUGACAUCACAGGCCAGCCUACAUAGGACACUGGGAAUAAAAACCAGAUGUAGAAGGAUUUUGAGGCUCGUUUUGUGCCUUACCUGACUGAACCUAAGAUGUAGUACCAGCUCUGACUUGUAAGUAAUAUGAAUCCAUUGCAACAUUUAGCAACUGUUAUAGCCUUUUGUAAGGAAUAUGUUGUAGUUUCGUAUUCUAAUUAUUGUAGUACAUUUACAUUUUGCUAGCAUUGUUUAAUUAUUAUAAUUAUAUUAAAUAUACAUUUAACAUUACAGUGUUUUGUGUAUUUACCAUCCACAUAUUCACCAUAAUACCACGAACUAUAAAAAAAAAAAAUAAUAAUGUUGAUACUUAUUGCUUAAUUAUAAUAUAUUAAUUAAAAGAUUAAUAUUCAGAUUUAGGUCAUGGCCACAACAGAACUAUAUUAUGGGCAAACUGACUGCCCAAGUUCGAGGGUCUAUGAAGACCUUCUCCAAAGUUUGGAAAUGUGGGUAAACUAUAUUGACAACUAACAGGAAAAACCCCUCGGCACUACAGCUGAUACACUUAUUGCACCCUCUCUACUAAAGUUGCUCCCUCCACCAGUGCCAACCAGAGACCUCUAACCCCUGACAUAUCCUUCUUUCUAUGAGUUGGCCAACUCGUAAAGAGGCUAUACUAGAUUUAAUGUUAACAAAUGGAUAUUUGGUAUCAGAUAUUACUGUAGGUGGAAGUUUAGGAUCCAGUGAUCAUCAGUCAGUGUAUUUUACAUAGAAACAUAGAAACAUAGAAUGUGACGGCAGAUAAGAACCAUCUAGUCUGCCCAAUUUUCUAAAUACUUUCAUUAGUCCCUGUCCUUAUCUUAUAGUUAGGAUAGCCUUAUGCCUAUCCCACGCAUGCUUAAACUCCUUUACUGUGUUAACCUCUACCACUUCAGCUGGAAGGCUAUUCCAUGCAUCCACUACCCUCUCAGUAAAGUAAUACUUCCUGAUAUUAUUUUUAAACCUUUGUCCCUCUAAUUUAAGACUAUGUCCUCUUGUUGUGGUAGUUUUUCUUCUUUUAAAUAUAGUCUCCUCCUUUACUGUGUUGAUUCCCUUUAUAUAUUUAAAUGUUUCUAUCAUAUCCCCCCUGUCUCGUCUUUCUUCCAAGCUAUACAUGUUAAGAUCCUUUAACCUUUCCUGGUAAGUUUUACCCCGCAAUCCAUGAACCAGUUUAGUAGCCCUUCUCUGAACCCUCUCUAAGGUAUCAAUAUCCUUCUGAAGAUACGGUCUCCAGUACUGUGUACAAUACUCCAAGUGAGGUCUCACCAGUGUUCUGUACAAUGGCAUGAGCACUUCCCUCUUUCUACUGCUAAUACCUCUCCCUAUACAACCAAGCAUUCUGCUAGCAUUUCCUGCUGCUCUAUUACAUUGUCUGCCUACCUUUAAGUCAUCAGAAAUAAUCACACCUAAAUCACUUUCCUCAAUUGUUGAGGUUAGGACUCUAUCAAAUAUUCUGUACUCUGCCCUUGGGUUUUUACGUCCAAGAUGCAUUAUCUUGCACUUAUCCACAUUAAAUGUCAGUUGCCACAAUUCUGACCAUGUUUCUAGAUUACCUAAAUCAUUUGCCAUUUGGCUUAUCCCUCCUGGAACAUCAACCCUGUUACAUAUCUUAGUAUCAUCAGCAAAAAGACAUACCUUACCAUCAAGACCUUCUGCAAUACCACUAAUAAAAAUAUUAAAGAGAAUGGGUCCAAGUACAGAUCCCUGAGGUACCCCACUGGUGACAAGUCCAAGCUUUGAAUAUAUUCCAUUAACUACAACCCUCUGUUGCCUGUCACUCAGCCACUGCCUUACCCAUUCAACAAUAUUGGAAUCCAAACUUAAAGAUUGCAGUUUAUUGAUAAGCCUUCUAUGUGCAACAGUGUCAAAAGCCUUACUGAAAUCUAGGUAAGCAAUGUCUACUGCACCACCCUGAUCUAUAAUUUUAGUUACCCAAUCAACAAAAUCAAUAAGAUUAGUUUGGCAUGAUCUCCCUGAAGUAAACCCAUGUUGUCUCUGAUCUUGAAAUCCAUGUGUUUUUAGAUGUUCAACAAUCCUAUCCUUUAACAUGGUUUCCAUCACUUUCCCCACUACUGAAGUAAGGCUUACUGGCUUAUAGUUGCCCGACUCCUCCCUAUUACCUUUCUUGUAAAUGGGCACAACAUUCGCUAACUUCCAAUCUUCUGGGACUACUCCUGUUAACAAUGAUUGGUUAAAUAAAUUUGUUAAUGGUUUUGCUAGUACACCACUAAGCUCUUUUAAUAGCUUUGGGUGUAUUCCAUCAGGUCCCAUUGACUUAUGUGUCUUUACUUUUGACAGUUGAAAUAGAACCUCUUCCUCUGUAAACUCACGUGUAAAAAAUGACUCAUUUAUCCUUUUUCUCAACUGAAGUCCUUUUCCUUCAUUUUCAUCUGUAAAUACAGAACAAAAAUAUUAAUUGAGGCAGUCAGCUAGACCUUUAUCCUCUUCUACAUACCUUCCUUCUUUUGUUUUUAAUCUAACUAAUCCUUGUUUUACUUUUCUAUUCUCAUUUAUGUAUCUAAAAAUGUUUUGUCCCCCUUUUUUAAUGACUGUGCCAUUUUCUCUUCUGUGUGUGAUUUGGAAGCUCUUAUAACUUGCUUAUUUUAAUAUAAGAACAGUGACUGAGUCACACCACACAAAAAACAAAAGUUUUAGACUUUAAAAAAACAAACACUUUUCUAAAAUUAGAAUAUGUGUUAAGGAGUCAUUAUCAGACUGGAGCAAUGUAAAUGGAGUCCAAGAGAAAUGGGAUUAUUUAAAAGUUGCACUGCUGAAGGCAACAGAAAAUUGCAUUAGGCUUGUCAGUAAAAGCAAAAAAUUCAAGAGACCACUGUGGUACUCUGCAGAUGUGGCCAAAAUAGUGAAAAACAAAAAGUUAGCAUUUAGUAAUUAUAAAAAAAAACAAAGUGAGGAAGACAGAAUGAUCUAUAAGAUUAGGCAGAAAGAGGCUAAGCAAGUUAUAAGAGCUUCCAAAUCACACAUAGAAGAGAAAAUAGCACAGUCAGUAAAACAAAGGGGACAAAACAUUUUUUAGAUACAUAAAUGAGAAAAGGAAAGUAAAACAAGGAUUAGUAAGAUUAAAAACAAAAGCAGGAAGGUACGUAGAAGAGGAUAAAGGUCUAGCUGACUGCCUCAAUAAAUAUUUUUGUUCAGUUUUUACAGAUGAAAAUGAAGGAAAGGGACCUCAGUUAGGAAAAUGGACAAAUUUGUCAUUUAUUACACGUGAGUUUACAGAGGAAGAGGUUCUAUUUCAACUGUCAAAAGUAAAGACAAAUGGGACCUGAUGGAAUACACCCAAAGUUAUUAAAAGAGCUUAGUGGUGUACUAGCAAAACCAGUAACAGAUUUGUUUAACCAAUCAUUGUUAACAGGAGUAGUACCAGAAGAUUGGAGGUUAGCGAAUGUUGUGCCCAUUCACAAGAAAGGCAGUAGGGAGGAGUCGGGCAACUAUAGGCCAGUAAGCCUUACUUCAGUAGUGGGGAAAGUAAUGGAAACCAUGUUAAAGGAUAGGAUUGUUGAACAUCUAAAAACACAUGGAUUUCAAGAUCAGAGACAACAUGGGUUUACUUCAGGGAGAUCAUGCCAAACUAAUCUUAUUGAUUUUUUUGAUUGGGUAACUAAAAUUAUAGAUCAGGGUGGUGCAGUAGACAUUGCUUAUCUAGAUUUCAGUAAGGCUUUUGACACUGUUGCACAUAGAAGGCUUAUCAAUAAAUUGCAAUCUUUAAGUUUGGAUUCCAAUAUUGUUGAAUGGGUAAGGCAGUGGCUGAGUGACAAGCAACAGAGGGUUGUGGUCAAUGGAGUAUAUUCAAAGCUUGGGCUUGUCACCAGUGGGGUACCUCAGGGAUCUGUACUUGGACCCAUUCUCUUUAAUAUUUUUAUUAGUGAUAUUGCAGAAGGUCUUGAUGGUAAGGUAUGUCUUUUUGCUGAUGGUACUAAGAUAUGUAACAGGGUUGAUGUUCCAGGAGGGAUAAGCCAAAUGGCAAAUGAUUUAGGUAAACUAGAAAAAUGGUCAGAGUUGUGGCAACUGACAUUUAAUGUGGAUAAGUACAAGAUAAUGCAUCUUGGACGUAAAAACCCAAGGGCAGAGUACAGAAUAUUUAAAAGAGUCCUAACCUCAACAUCUGAGGAAAGGGAUUUAGGGGUGUUUAUUUCUGAUGACUUAAAGGUAGGCAGACAAUGUAAUAGAGCAGCAGGAAAUGCUAGCAGAAUUCUUGGUUGUAUAGGGAGAGGUAUUAGCAGUAGAAAGAGGGAAGUGCUCAUGCCACUGGUAAGAUCUCACUUGGAGUAUUUUACGCAGUACUGGAGACCGUAUUUUCAGAAGGAUAUUGAUACUUUAGAGAGAGUUCAGAGAAGGGUUACUAAACAGGUUCAUGGAUUGCAGGAUAAAACUUACCAGGAAAGGUUAAAGGAUCUUAACAUGUAUAGCUUGGAGGAAAGAAGAGACAGGGGGGAUAUGAUAUAAACAUUUAAAUACAUAAAGGGAAUCAACACAGUAAAGGAGGAAACCAUAUUUAAAAGAAGGAAAACUACCACAACAAGAGGACAGUCUUAAAUUAGAGGGGCAAAGGUUUAAAAAUAAUAUCCGGAAGUAUUACUUUACUGAGAGGGUAGUGGAUGCAUUGAAUAGCCUUCCAGCUAAAGUGGUAGAGGUUAACACAGUAAAGGAGUUUAAGCAUGCGUGGGAUAGGCAUAAGGAUAUCCUAACUAUAAGAUAGGUCUAGGGACUAAUGAAAGUAUUUAGAAAAUUGGGCAGACUAAAUGGGCCGAAUGGUUCUUAUCUGCCAUCACAUUCUAUGUUUCUAUUUCUUCUUUUCUUUUUCUCUUUUUUUUAGAUACCCCAUCUCUUGGGAUUGUUCCUGAAAAGACUAAAAUCCUCAGAAACUGGGACAGAUUUUUGCUUCUUGUUAAUACUGAGCCUGGCUCUCUACAUAAAACAUUUUUCUUUCAAUGCUGAAAGAUGUGACCAUUACUGAUAUUGUUAACUUCUUAAAUAUUCAGGUAACCAUUCUGCCAUGAACAACCAGAAUUGUUUCUAAUUACCGAAACUCUAACCUCAUCUACCAUAUAUGUAAAAUCCUCUCUCAUGUAUGAUAUUUUUAGACUGAUUUAUGCAAUUCUCUGCUGAUUGAUGUACUUGCCAUGUUGUUUACAUUACCGUAUGUCUCCUGCUUUCUGAGACAAAAUAAAGAAUGUAAUUAAAAGUUGUUUUAAGUACCAAUGGCAGUAGCUAGACUUGACAAUUUAAAGUCCAUCAUUCUACAAUGAAAAAGAUUAUUCAAAAAUAGAAAACAUUCAAGAUGGUUUCCAAUCUUCCCAAGAGUGGAUGUUCCAGCAAGUUCACCUGAAGGUCAGACUGCGCAAUGCUCAGAGAAAUUGCAAAAAAAACAAGAGUUACAUUGCAGACUCUACAGGCCUCAGCUAGCAUGUUAAAUGAUUAAGAUUGUUACAGUAUAAUUAGAAAAAGACUGACAAGUAUGGUUUGUUUGAAAGGGUUGCCAGAAGAAAGCCUAUUCACUCCACCAUUCUACAAUGAAAAAGAUUAUUAAAAAAUGGAAAACAUUGAAGAUGAUUUCCAAUCUUCACAGGAGUGGAUGUUACAGCAAGUUCACCUGAAGGCCAGACUGUGCAAUGCUCAGAGAAAUUGCUAAAAAAAACAAGUUACAUUGCAGACUCUACAGGACUCAGCUAGCAUGUUAAAUGUUUAAGAUUAUUACAGUAUAAUUAGUCUGUUUCUAAUUAUACUGUAAUAAUCUUAAACAUUUAACAUGCUAGCUGAGGCCUGUAGAGUCUGCAGUGUAAAAGAAACAGACUAACAAUUAUUGUUUGUUUGAAAGGGUUACCAGAAGAAGCCUAUUCACUCUAAAAAGAACAUGGUUUAGGUUUGCAAAGUUGCAUCUGAACAAACCACAAGACAUCUGGAGCAAUGGCCUUUGGACAGACGAGACCAAAGGGGAGAUGUUUGGCCAUAAUGCACAAUGCCACAUUUGAUGAAAACCAAACACAGAAUAUCAGUACAAACACAUCAUACUAAUUGUUAAGCAUGGUGGCGGAAGGGUGAUGAUUUGGGCUUUUUUUUGCAGCCACAUGACCUGGGAACCUAGGUCGACCACAAACUCCUCUGUCUACCAGUAUUCUAGAGUAAAAUUUGAGGCUAUCUGUAAGACAGCUAAAGCUUGACUGGAACUGGCUCAUGCAACAGGACAAUGAUCCCAAGCACAGCAGCAAAACUACUGUGAAUGGAUUAAAAAGAAAAUAAUCAAGGUGUUGCAAUGGCAAAUUGCAAUGGCCACAGACCUUAACUAUAUAUUAAUUCUACGUGUAAGCAAAGAGUUCAAAGAGUGUGAUGGGAUUCCAGCAUGGUCAAAAUUUAGUAGGCCAAAAUCUCCACAUGGCAUAUGCUAAUUAGUAUCUGAUUACAAACAGUUGGAUGAGUCAUCAGUAUACUGAGCAUGUGUGGAAGUGGAUAGUAAAAUCCUUUGUCUUCAACAAGCCAUGUGGUAUGCCAUAUAAGGUGAUCCUGAAUAUCCUGUGUGCUGAUUGGUCUGAGGAAUAUAGGAGGGGUUAUACUGUAUGGGAGGAGAUAUGCAGUUAACAAAAGUCCCAAGCCCCAUGUGUUGCUCUCUCAGAAUUUUGGAACAGGAGUUCAUCUGAGACCCGAUCGGUAAUGUGAAUAAAGGCCUCUUACUUCCUGAAGACUUGUGUCCAUAUCUCUGUGUUUGGCUUCUGCAUGCUUACACGGUAACAUUUCUGGUGCAAUUGGUCAGGGAACCUCAUCGCAGGGAAGCUGGCGAAGAGAUUUGAGAUGGUAAACUUUUACGAAAUUCUCUACGCUGCAAUCCUGGACUUCUACUGCGUGGACCUACUUUCGUCUCGGCGCCACUGGCCUUUUGUCCAGGAGAUCAUCGGCUUCUGCGCAGUGAGUCCCGGGUUGUUCCGUCGAUGAAUGUGAAUCCAGGUCCAGGAACUAACAGGUAAGACUGAUACCGUUAGAGCGGUAGACCCACAAGGGGUUUUAUAUUUGGAACCGGUUAUUGGAAUAAUCCCCUUCAAUUUGGAAAGAAAUUAGACGCUCUGUAGUCAGCCCGUCUAAUAUAGGUGGUUUGUCAGACUGAGUUCUGGUGUAAAUAGCUCAUGUCGGACACCGAUGUCCUGCCUUGACUAGCAUGCUAGGUGUAAAUUUUGGUUGCUAGGUCGGGGAGACCGGCGAAAUUUAAGCAGGCUCUGUUGUAUAUUAUAGCUUGCUAGAUUUCACCCUAUCUUAACAAAGUGUGCUCUGUUGUAAAUCCAGCCACUAGAUUAUUGAUAGUGUAAUAGACUAGCUGGGUACUGUGUAAAUUCUGCCCUCUAGUUCGCUAUACGUGGUGUCUGGGCAGCGAAGAACUUAUGGAAUCUCUGGUGUACAAAUAGAUCGAAAGCUCUCGAGGUGCUGGCCAGUUAAAAUAGUUGUGAUUAUUGUAAAUGUUGUUAAAUAUAUUGUAGUUGGUGAAUUGGUUAAUUUGUAUGUCCUACUAGAAAGUUAGAGCUCUGCUGUCUAGUGGGAGUGUAAAUUGUGUGUAUAACUGUAAAAUAGUGCACGGUACCAUAACUACUGACAUGUACCAUAACCACUGACAUUGUGUAAAAAUUACUAACAAUUGCUGUUUUAUGUUAUAUGUAUAAUACCAUAACUGUUACUAACUGAUGUGUGCGUGCAUGUGUGUGUUUGGGCCUAGUGACUGUGCGAUGUGGUGCUGGUGAUAAGGAGAUUGGUGUGACUGUUGAAACUGUGUGUAUAUUUGUACAGCUUUUUGAAUCAGACGUUUUGUUGAAAUCAUCUUCUGAUUCACAAGGCUGUUGGUCCUUUGUCUUGUAUAGUGUAGUAGGAAGUAGCUUGUCCUGGUGGCCGCAUGGCCUCCAUGUAGCAGUCUUCACUUACAUUUAGUGCAGGGUGUACAUGUGGCUGUAACUAGUAGGCCGGAAUUCUAUGAUCAGUUUCUAUAUAUUGACUGUUGGAAACUGAUUGUUGAAAAACUGCCUUGGUGAAUUAAACUGUGUCAUAUGAGAAACAAUGGAGCCAUAUGGUGGUCAGAACUUAAUUGCAACUGCUUUGGACAUCCCCUCACCCUUGCAUCUGAUUACCUAUUCAUCCUCCAGAGCCAGAGUAGCCACGCCCCCAUUCUUCCUCCCAAGCUUAAAACUGGUAUAGGUGGUAUUUGCACUCCCCCUGCUCUACUGUCCCCGCCUACCCACAUACCUAUCUGUUCCUGUGUUUCAAACUCUUGUAUUUCUGUACUACCCCUCCUCCCCCUAAUCAAGAUGGUAUAUUGUCUUUUUUUAGUUACUGGAUGGGCCCCUCCCAGCUUUGUCCAAAAUGUCCCCUUUUACUAAAAUACAAACUGAGAUGUUUAAUUUACCUAAGAACUAAAGAUUUAAUUAAGCCUAGAUAUCAGGGUGGACAGUGAUUAAAAUAAGUAAUAAUAAAAUAGGGACAUAAUUAAUUAAAGUCUAUCUGCUUCAUUAGACUUUAGAGAGGCACUCUACGGCCACCUACUGGCUAUCUUCGGGAGUUACAUUGAUAAUACAUUGUUUAUAACAGAUAGAAGUAGGAUUGCUUACCCUAUUUUAAUAUAUUUAUUGCUAUAAGGUUUUAUUUUAUGUAUAAAUAUAUUAAAAGUUAAGUUUUAUUAUUAGACCCAUAAAGAUUAUUUUGAUACAAUUACCCUCUGGUGACAACUACUGGUAGGUUUUUGGUUUAACACUUAAAAAAAAAAUUUCAUCCACCAAAUGCUGAUUAGUAAAAUUAGCUCACCCCCUUACACCUAUUAGCUCACCCCCUGGAACCUAUUAUUGAGCAGCCUUGCCGAAGUCCCAUACUAACCCGACAACUGACUGGCACCCUUCCAUCCCGACAUUGUCAUAUGCCCCUCUGACUUACACCAGGCCCAACACACGUGGAUGAGAAUGGCCAAAUACAACGGGCAGAUCCAGUGUUUGUAUAUGUCCCCUUCACUACGACUGAUUUAUUUAACUGGAAGAUUCAUAACUCUUCAUAUACUGACAAACCUCAAGUUAUGUCAGAUUUGGUUACUUCUAUUAUCCAAACACAUAAUCCCACCUGGGCCAAUUGCCAGCAAUUAUUAUUAACUUUAUUUAAUUGUGAGGAAAGGACCCGGAUUAAUCAAGCGGCUAUUAAAGCGCUUGAGGAAACGGCCCGUACUCAAAAUCAGGCCAAUCCAGUUGUGUGGGCUGCAGCACAUUAUCCAAAUGCCGAUCCAAAUUGGAACGUGAAUGGUGCUGACAUGCCCCAACUAAGAGCUUAUCGGGAAGCCAUAAUUGCUGGCAUGAAGGCAGGAGGGAAGAAGGCAAUUAAUAUGUCAAAGACGGCUGAGGUGUUGCAAAAGGUUGAUGAGUCACCUAGUACCUUGUAUGAGAGAUUAUUGGAGUCAUAUAGGUUGUAUACUCCUUUUAAUCCAGAGGCUCCUGAGAAUUUUAGGAUGAAUAAUUCAGCAUUUGUCAGCCAGGCCCAAGGUGAUAUUAAAAGGAAAUUACAGAAAUUAGAGGGAUUUGUAGGGAUGUCCAUAUUACAGCUAAUGUAGAUUGCAAAUAAAGUAUAUAUGAAUAGGGAGACGGAGGUAAAGCGGGAGGAAGAAUGUAAGAUGAGGAAAAAGGCAGAUAUGCUAGCGGUAGCUAUCUCAAAUGUAGAAAGACAGGGAGGGGAAGUGCAUAGAGGAGACGAGAAUAGGCUGAGCAGGGUACCACUAGGUAGAGAUCAAUGUGCAUAUUGUAGAGAGGAAGGGCAUUGGAAGACUGACUGCCCACAGAGGGGAUAUAUUGCAGGUGGUAUACGAGAAGAGGACGAGGUGGUUAUGGAAGCAGCUAUAAAGGGUGAGGUAAAGGAAGUUUUGGAGGAAAUAGUGCGAAUAGUAGAGGAAGUGUUCAAGGGGACAGAUAUUAUCCACCUACCCAGAAAUUAAGGGAUAGGGAAGAUAGACAUUUUGUAGGUCUGGCUGACACUGUCAUGGAAAACUAUUGAUACCGACCGGGCUCCAUUCCCCUUGGUCAAGCAGAGCCUAUGGUCGAUGUAGUAAUAGGGGGAAAGAGAAGUUCUUUCAUGAUCGACACAGGUGCUGACCAUUCUGUGGUGACUAAGAUGGUGGCUCCGCCUUCGGGGAAGACUAUAACUGUGAUAGGAGCUACUGGAAGAAAGCGCAGCUAGACUGGUUCUUAAGAGUCGCACUUGUAUUCUGGGAGGCCAUGUGGUGAAGCAUUAGUUCCUACAUAUGCCAGAGUGUCCGAUUCAACUUUUAGGACGAGAUCUAUUAUCGAAGCUUUAAGCUCAGAUAACCUUUUACCUAAUGGAUCAACAUCUCUGAAGUUUAAGGGAUUACCAGGAAUAAUGGCGAUAUCGGUGCCAAGGGAAGAAGAAUGACGCUUCUAUUCCAUAGUGACAAGUGUUAACCCUAAGAGUGAUGAAUCCUUAUUUGACAUCCAGGAGUAUGGACAGAAAAUAAUCCUCCAGGACUUGCUCAUAAUAUCCCACCAAUACAUAUUGAGUUAAAGCUCGGGGUGUAUCCUGUUAGCCUUUGUAUGUUGUUCUUUUAUCUACCCCAACAGCUAUAAAGGUGGCGGAAGUGACUCCUUGGAUUCAUCAUUCUAAGGUUAAACCAGCGGCAGACUCUUGGCAAGCUACUCCAGAUCCUGAGAAUCCUUCCAGGAUCCGGUUGAAGCGCAUAACCCAGUUGGAUUGAACAUGUCGUGAGAAAAAGUACGAGGGGAUAUCGAGACAUUCUAGUUAAAAGUCUACAGAGAUCAUCAAGUAGGUGUUUUGACGGCCAUAAUAAAGCCUGACCACCUGCCUACGUGUCAUAAGCCAGAGUGUCUCGAAGGGAUCUCUGUGAAGGAAAGUGAGGAUCAGAAGAACAACAUCCUUGCAGCCCUCACAAUCGGGAAGCUGAGGGGCCAUCGCACGGUCAAAGAAAAAAUAGGAUUUCAGGAAUAAUGUGUUGUAUUAUGUGUCUUAGUAUUUUUAUGAUUUUUCAGGAAGGUAGGAGUACAGACAUACCGAAUUGCGAUAGUUGCAUUAAGACUACUAAAACAGGUAACCAAAUAUCCCAAACUCUCAUCUGGCACUCACAGUAUGAAUGUAAGGGAUCUGUAUCUAAAUGUAGAUAUUUGGAUAUUGAUUAUAGUGUGUGCAAGCCUAUAUCAGGAGAGUCUAAAUGUUUCGAUCCCCAAUUCCAACCCCAUACAAUUUGGUUGGUAAUUAGGAAUAGUAACUCCCAGGGAACUUUGAUAAAUAGGACUGUGAUAAAUACCAUACAUUGUAUGGGUAUUCUACUAUUUGAUGCAUGUAAGGCGAUCUCGGGUAGUGGAAAACCUUGGAAUGUAUGUGGUAAUCUUAAAUGGGAACGAACUUAUGGGUUUAAUGAUAAAUACUUAUGUCCCAGUAAAAGAUCUACUGAUCCUGAUUGCCCAAAUAGAGAUGACAACUUCUGCCCCUAUUGGUCAUGUGUAGGUUGGGCUACCUGGGGAAAGACAGUAGAUCAAGAUAUGAUUAUCCAAAGGUUGCCUACCACACCAUACUGUAAAACUAUGUGUGUAACCCCGUUCACAUGACCAUUUCCAAUCUGCAGCACUUUAUUGACAGGUUCGGAGGUCUGUUUGGGUUCCAAAUAUAUGGCACAGGAGUAGAUCCAGGAACAAUAAUAUAUGUAGGUCUUGAAACUGAGACAGUAGCAACCCAAACUCAUCAGGUUUCUCAUUCCUUCUAUGAGGAGAUGAGUAUUGAGGAUAAAAUUCCCCAUAAUGUUAAGAACCUAUUUAUUGAUUUGGCUGAGAGUAUUGCAGGUAGUCUUAAUAUAACUAACUGCUUUGUAUGUGGAGGUACUAAUAUGGGAGACCAGUGGCCAUGGGAGGCAAAGGAAAUAUGGUACUCUGGCUCUGAGACAUAUGAACAACAGAUACCUUUCCAGUCUGAUCAUCAAGUAAGUACUAGAAGUAAAUCGGAAUGGCGGUUAAAAACCUACAUUAUAGGUCAUGUUUGUAUAGCCAGGAAAGGAACAAUGUAUAACACGUCUGUAGGUGAGCUAACUUGCUUGGGACAAAAAGCCUAUAAUGUUAAUACUAAAAAUACUACUUGGUGGUCAGCUUCAAAUGUCUCGGAGCCUACUAAUCCGUUUGCCAAUUACACUCAUUUAAAGGAGGUAUGGUUUGACUUAUCUGCUACAUCUAGUGGGAAAGCCCCAGCAAAUUUACACUGGAUUUGUGGUAAGAAAACUUAUUCAGAGUUACCACAAGAUUGGGAAGGGGCAUGUGUAUUAGGUAUGCCAAAGCCAUCCUUCUUCUUGUUGCCAAUUGAGACAGGAGAGACCUUGGGAGUUAAGGUUUACGAUGUAAAUAAUAAAAAGAAGCGAGCAUCCCUGAAUAUAGGUAGUUGGGAAGAUGAUGAGUGGCCCCCUCAACAUAUUAUUAAUUAUUAUGGACUUGCUACUAGGGCAGAAGAUGGCACUUAUGGAUAUAGAACUCCGAUAUAUAUAUGCUCAACCGCAUUAUUAGACUACAGGCGGUAGUUGAGAUUAUCACUAAUGAGACAGCACAAUCGCUUAAUCUUCUAGUUAAGCAAAAUACCAGGAUGCGAUCAGCCAUAUACCAGAAUAGGCUAGCCCUUGAUUACUUACUAGCAGUGGAAGGAGGUGUAUGCGGAAAGUUUAAUCUAAGUAACUGUUGUCUGCACAUAGAUGAUGAAGGGCAGGCAGUGGCUGAACUUACAAGUCACAUGGUUAAAUUUGUGCAUGUACCUACUCAGGUCUGGAAUGGGUAUAACCCAAGUAGUUGGUUUGGAAGUUGGUAUGAGCAGCUUGGAGGAAUUAAGACAUUAGUAGGAGGAGUAGAAUUUAUUAUAUUUCUUGUGCCUCCUCCUGCCAUGUCUAAUUCCACUAGUGGUCAGGUCCCUACGUAGUAUUCUAGAGAGUACUAUAGAGAGAAAGACAGCUGCCCAUGUAAUGGCUGUCUAGAAGUAUGAACCCCUAGCCCACAGAGAGAAUAAUCGGGAUGAGGAAUGUUGAAGGAGUUUUUAAGAUGAUACAAGGUCUGUACUGGUUCAUGGUUACUUGAGUGGUGUUGGCAGAUUAUGAUUAGUGAUGCAUCUGGAAUAAUGUUAUAUCAGAGGCAUCAAAGGGGGGAAUGUGAUGCGAUUCCAGAAUGGUCAAAAUUUAGUAGGCCAAAAUCUCCACAUGGCAUAUGCUAAUUAGUAUCUGAUUACAAACAGUUGGAUGAGUCAUCAGUAUACUGAGCAUGUGUGGAAGUGGAUAGUAAAAUCCUUUGUCUUAAACAAGCCAUGUGGUCUGCCAUAUAAGGUGAUCCUGAAUAUCCUGUGUGCUGAUUGGUCUGAGGAAUAUAGGAGGGGUUAUACUGUAUGGGAGGAGAUAUGCAGUUAAAAAAAGUCCCAAGCCCCAUGUGUUGCUCUCUCAGAAUUUUGGAACAGGAGUUCAUCUGAGACCCGAUCGGUAAUGUGAAUAAAGGCCUCUUACUUCCUGAAGACUUGUGUCCAUAUCUCUGUGUUUGGCUUCUGCAUGCUUACACGGUAACAAGAGGGUGUACUUUAUUUUCCCAUGACUGCAUAUAUAUGUAUGUAUUUAUAUAUAUUAGUAGAUAAAUCUAAAAAAACAAAAUAAUGUGUAUUGACACACACACACACGUGUAUUCCAAUUGGCCACUCACACUUACUUGUAAAUCACUUGUAAAGUGUUUAAAUAGCCGAAUUAGAUGAGAAUAUCUGGAGCAAGUUAAAACUACUAAAGGACUGGAUGAAUAUUAUAGACAAUCUCCCAAAAUAUUGAUAAGCCUGAAGCUAGAGUAGAUGGAAAAAGACAAAUGCAGCUCAGAGUAUUAGAACGUAAAUGUAUUCACUUACAUAUAAAAAGAUAAAACCACACAUCCAGAUUAAAAGCAAAAUAGUCAAAUGUGUCUUGUCUGGUAAGAUUUCCCAGGGACAUUGAGCAUCACAAAAACAAAUGAUCAAAUACUCUCCUGCCUACCAACAAUUUAAAUUCCUCUAAUGAGGUCUCUUCGGUUUCCAUUGGCUUCCUCUAUCUCCAACGGUCUUCAAUCUCUUUGUCUUCCAUGUUGUGCCUGCAAUUUAAGCUCCUCACAUGUCAUGUGACCUGCAUGAUAACAUGGUAUAUUUGUGAAAAAGGAAAGAGCAUGUCGGGACUUAUUCUUUCCUUAAGGAAAGUAUCUAUUUGCAUGAUUAAAAUUUACUAAUUCUCACAAAUUGUUACUUUUGCUUACAUAUUUUAAAAGUUAAGUACAUACCUUUGUAAAGAGUGAACUGAUUCUUGCAUUUUUAGUAAGUUGAUGAUUCUAUGUUUACCCUUGCUGUACCUGUGUUGGAGUGUAGAUAGUAGAUAGCCUGAAUCAUUGACUCUAUUGUGUAACUAAGUUUAGCUUUCUGAUGUAUCUAGUUAAUAGCUACUGCCAGGAGCACUUGAAACAACUUUGAGUGUGAGAUAUGAGAUUGGCAGGCUAUUUGUCAUUAAUUCCAACAUGGGACUAGGCAUCAAUAUACAAUUAUUAUUAAGUUUUUGUUUGUUUGUCUAAUGUUUAGAGGAAAGAAAAUCCUUCUUUUGUGAAGUGUGGUGUUUAGUAACAUCUAAAAAUAAUUUUGCCUAGCCUGGGUCAUUGAUUCUAGUCUGAGACUAGGUUUAGCUUUCUGUUGUAUCUUGCUGGCAGCUACUGACAAAGAUAUUAUAAACAACUUUGAGUGGGAGAUAGGAGAUUGGCAGGCAUUUUGUUAUUGAACCUACUGCAAGACUAGCUUACCAAUGUAAGAAAGAGAGAGAGCACCACUAGUACCAAAACUACCACUAAAAACUACCACUAAUACCACCUUCACCACCAUCAACAUUUCCAUUAGUAUGAUUCAGUCAAGUGCUAGUGCAGGGAUAGGCAACUUUCGGCACUCCAGAUGUUGUGGACUACAUCCCCCGUAAUGCUCUUACACCCAUAAUGCUUGUAAAGUAUCAUUGGGGGUGUAGUCCAAAACAUAUGGAGUGCUGAAGGUUGCCUAUGCCUGUGCUAGUGUGCAGGCUAGAGUUGCAACAGCUUCCACUGCCACCAAUGCAAAUUUUAGGAUUUAUCUGAGUGCAUCCAAGAAGACUGACUUGCAAAGUGCAAAAUGUGCAGAAAUGAAGUGAGUUGGGGAUACCACAAAUCUGCAUUAGUGAGGGAAGAAGAAGGAUAAGAAAGUUGACUGGUGCUGUGUUUGAGUCUGCACAGUUGUCACAACUAGUGAUGUCCCGAAUGGUUCGCCGAACGGUUCGCCACGGACUCAUCAUUGAGUAAACUUUGACCCUGUACCUCACAGUCAGCAGACACAUUCCAGCCAAUCAGCAGCAGACCCUCCCAGACCCUCUCGCCUCCUGGACAGCUCACUAAGAAUGCAGCUUCACAAUGAAUGUAAAAUGGAUGCUGUCCAGGAGGUGGGAGGGUCUGGGAGGGAGGGUCUGCUGCUGAUUGGCUGGAAUGUGUCUGCUGACUGUGAGGUACAGGGUCAAAGUUUACUCAAUGAUGAGUCCGCAGUGAACCGUUCGGCGAACCGUUCGGGACAUCACUAGUCACAACCUACCAUUAUUACCUCCUUUCCCACUACUAGUACCAGCACCCUAGGACAGAGCAGUAGGAUGGUGAGGAUAGUGCCAGUAGUCAACACUGGAAUACUUGACAGGAACAUUCAGACCACUCUUUAUCUAUUGAAUAAAACAAAAAAAUAUCACUGAUUUAGAAUGUUUUUGAAUGGUGUUAUUAAUUUGUCAUUUAUUUUUUAUUUUAUUUAAUAAGAAAUGGAUUUGAUUUUUGGUGUGCAUCUGAGCCAAUUCUUGUGCCUUGGAAAUAGCAAGAUUUUUCCCUCAGUAAUAUACACCAUUUGUGGCUGCAGUUUACAGUACUAGUGAACACACUGAGUGUGACAGAUCCUUUCUUUAACUCUUUGUAUUCUAAAACGUGGUAGUAAUGUUGGUCAUCUACUUGUUCACCCACCUUGGUAAAUAAAAUUAAUAAAAAGAAAAAAAGAAAAAUUAUCCCUGCUGCUGCUUUCCCCCUUUUUUUCAAGUGCCUUUCCUUGUGGUUUUGUGCAGGCUGAGUGAGCCUUAUCUUUGUAAACACAAUUGGCAUAGGUUGAUAGGGCAAAUGUUUUUUUUUCCAUUAUAAAGAACAGUCACUUCUCUUUCUAAGGCAAAAGUGAGUGAAAAUGGGCACUUUGUGGCCCACUCACCCUGAGAAGAACAAAGCUGCCUCAUACAUCCAUUUUGUAUAAUGACUUGUGGAAUGAUCUUUCAGUGCCCUACUAUCUUAACUGCAUCUGUGUGGGUAGCAGGAACUGCAUAGCUCAGCCAGUGAAGGCAAAACCACAAUAAAAGGCACUUGGAAAAAAAGGGGGAACUGAAUUUGAAAGGGAAUUAAAAAACAAAGGCCUUCAUCUUUUGAAAAACCUAAUUUUUAAAAGACUCCUGCUGAAACUAGUACAUAGUUGUUGUUUUUUGUUGUUAUUUUUUUAAACUAAAGGAUAAAUCACAAGAUGACUGUGACAGAGCUCCCGUACUUUGACCAAGUACCUCGGCCAAAUCUGCUUCCUCACCGCUAUCAGUAACCCUGGAGCGCUUCAGACCCGAAGCUUGACUGGGCUCGACGAGCAUCUUUUCUACCCUGGACCAGGCUACUGUGAUUAUAGGUUUGGAAACCCAUUUCUCUAAACAACAGACAACACUUGGUAACAUUUAAAAACAACAACCUUUAUUGAAAACAAUCCAUUUACUUAUACCCCCAAACAUCAUUUACAAACAAUAGGUAGGUGGUACCCAAUAGCAUUAUAGACUUGGGAUAGUAACCAAUUACACUAAAUCUGAAGUUAACCUUUUGCAAUAUGGACUUAAGAUAGCAGCCAAUCACACUAAAAAGCUUACAACAAGUGUGAAUUGAGCACUGUAAUUACCAGAAAGGGUGGGGACAGAUAACAGCAAGUGCUUAGAAUCACUUGAGGGAUUUAAAGGAGUGGCAGGUCUGCCUCUUGGAACUAAUCUGGAAGUGCCCCUAAAACAAUGGGAAAACGGAAGAAUAAAAAGACAGGAAAAGGGGGGAAGGGGAAAAGCACAUUCAACCUGGACAAGCAAUACAUUUAAUUUAAUACAUAUGAGAAAAUCAUAUGGGGAAACGUACAGGCACUCAUAAUAACACAAUAAAACAAUAGACCAUUCAUAUACUGUAUAUAUUUUUAUCAAACAGAGAAUAUAUAAUCUAAUCUAAUUUUGUUAACUCAGAAUUGGCAUAGAAAAAGGUCUGCUGUUGUGUAGUCAUUAGGACAGGCAAUAUUGAAGCCUCUUUGAAUGUCAGCACAGACAUAGACAUAGUCCCAAACUGUACUAAAUUGUGCUGAAUUAUGGCAAAUAAAGCUGCUUAUAUUUACCCACAAAAAAAGAAAAACUUACAGAUUUUUCUCCAUUCUAUCCUCAUUUUGUCUGGUGCUAGAAACAGAACUCUAAAUCAUGAAUAAAAAUUAACUGGCUUGUGUUUUACGUGAGUUGUUUGGUCAUUAGUCAAUAUGGCAGUUCAGAAAUCAGGAAUUUGGUUUGGUCACCUGAAUGGACCAAAUUCAAAUGAUUUGCAAUUCAUAGCAAAAUAAAUAUCCAUGUCUAACAUGUACAUUAUUAAAUUUUUUUGCUGAUAAGUGUCAUUGGUAUGAGUGGGCAUUAAGGGUCUAAUUCCAUGGAAGUGGGACUAUUAAACUACUACUAGGAUAUAAUUAGUAGCUGCCCCCAUGAUAUUUCCAACUGCCUGGAAAAAUCCUUGUGUAGUUUACUAAAAGUUAUUUUUAAACUUAAAUUUUGCUGGGCGUACAUGACCACCUCUGAGGAACAUGUAGUCUGGAAAUAACAACUCAUUCUUCCUCUCAUCCUUUCUUUGUCCCAUCUCCUACCUUUUAGAUACGUAUGACAAUUGUAAAAACUCCAUGACUCACCAGUAAUGUUUGUUAAUGGGACACACUACUGUCCAAAUACAAAAAUAAAUAAAACAAUGUAGUAGAUAUAUCCCCAGUGAAAGCAUGCAUGCAUAUAAUUAUGCACUCUUUCAUUGGGGUUAUAUCUAAAAACAGCAUGCAAAAAAGUGUUCAUCUCAUGUCUACCCUGCAGUUGCAUAUAAUUGUAAAUUAUUGGCUCUCUGAGUAGCAUGGGAAAUGUAUUUUACUGCCAUCUGUAAACUAGGUUUACCAGAAAAUGUAUAUUCAGUAAGUAAAGUAAACCUGCUAAAAUAAUUCAACCCAUUAUGUACCGGCAAGUAAAAUGUAUAUUUUACAUUAAACUUUGGUAUUAAUUUUCUGAAGAAUUACAAUUCAGAUUAAACUUGGCUCUUUUGUCCAAAUUCCAAAUUUCUGGAUGGCACAGUGGAAAAAUAUACUCAUACACAAACUUCUUCCAUGUGCAAUUCAUUCAUUAGUUAACUCUUCUAAAGUCAUGUGUGAUUUUUAUAUUUAAGGGUACCAAAUUAUGGAGCUCUUGUGUUAAGUAGAUAGUUCUCGUAUUUGGUAUCCUUAAAUAUUGAUAAUUCUAUAUGUAAAGGAUGUGUACAUCCGUGCUUCAUGUUAUUAUUUUUAUAGUAUAUAUGCAUAAAACUUGAAAUUGUAAUAUUUAAUCACUUAUAAUUGUUAAUUGUAUGACAUGAACAGCUUGAGAAAAAAUGCAAGUUAGGGGGGUAGAGAAAUGGAGCUAUCACAUCAAAUCCAACUACAAAACCAGCAAUAGGAAAAUCUUUUAGAAUGAAGCAGGUAGGAGGAAUUGAGAAGGUAGGGUUAAGAUGCAGAAUGCUGCAAAACAUUUGUGUAGUGAACGCUGGUAUUUCAGAUACCCGUUAGUCAGUUUCCUCCCGAACUGCUACAGGCUAAGUGAUUAUAGCUCGCAGUUCGGGUGUUGAGUCGAACAUUCUCCAGAAUAAAUACAGCUUCCAAGUAUAUUCACCAAGCAAAUCAGAUGGUUACCCAAACAUCAGCCCAGACUACAUGAAGGGUACAACAGGAAUUCAUUUAUUCAGGCCAACUGGCCAGUUUAUAUGCAGUUACAAACGUACAGGGUUUACGGUGACAUAUUCCAGGGGCAUUCCCCACCAGACCUGAGAAGGGACAAUGACAAAAUGCAUUCUGCAGUUACAUUGGCUCUCAGGUCUCAGGUCACAUUUCCACAAAACCACAUAAGUACCCUAAACCACAUGGGAACCCCACAAAAGUCAUAUCCCGUUAUAGCCCUAAUCUGGGAGACCAACAUAUUCAAAAAUCACCCAGAUUGGUUCAUGGGUUCGGUAGUUCCAUGGAAGUCUUAAUUGGACAUACCGCACAGGAGGCUUCUGCCCCGAAAGAGUUCCAUGAAAUUAGGCAUGUGCGGUCGGUUUCUUUCGGGAAGUCUAAAAAUCAAACAAAUCCAUGAACGGUUCCCCUGGCUCAUAGGUAGCGUUUGUUCCCCUAGUUCGUGGGAACAAACCUACUGAAUACAGCUCUCCUGGCUGGUUGGUGAAAAGAAGCAGGCGUUCAUGAUAUUGACUGGCGUUUGGGAAGUCGAGUGUCUGAUUUUAGUUCCAGACACUUGACGACCAAGUCCCGCUGACUCUUUUCAUGCAACAUGAUGGCCGCCGGCUUCUCCUGCACAUAGUGUUCGGCUAUACGAGCACACACAGAGAGAGCACUUAAUUUGCGGCCAGGGGGGUGGUUGGUGUUUGGUAGUUUUAUCUACUAAACGAAGAAAAAUCUAAAUUACUUAACACAAAGGCUAGUUUCUUAACAAUUUCUUUGCAAAAACUAUUUAAAGUGAAAAGUAUACAGAUAACAAUUUGGGCUAAAAGUUAUAAAAAAUUUGGUUGUGUGUUCCGUGUCUCUUUGAGAAGUCUCACAGACUGCACUGACCAGUAAAAUAAAGCCAAUAUUUAUUUACAAUUUUUACACCAGAUUCUGAGUGAUAACCUCAGUGCCCAUAUUAUUAUCCGUACACGUAAAGCUUCUACAUUUUUGUGGCAAAAUAACAAAAAAGGAAUUUCUCAUGGAAAAGAUAAGAUCUUUAAAUUCACACUAUUCAUCUCUUAUAGUUUUUUGAGAGUAAUAUGCCAAAAAUGUGUAUUGAGAUGCAAAGCAAAGUAAUGGGCAAUUUUAUUUUUUUUCAACAUUAGGUGCCUAUCACAAAUACAAUGACUAAAUAGCAAUCUAUGUAUAGAUUGUUGUCCUUGGAUGCAUAAAAUACUAAAAUCAACUCAAUAUGUUUUAGGUGUAUUAGUAGGAGAAGUAAAAAUAGUACUAAAAGUAGUAUGUAUUAGUACAUCCAUUGCUAAAACAUUAAACAGGUAUAAAUAAUAAGGAAUAUAGAAAUAAUAAAUAAUAAGGAAUAUUUUCGCAGGAUACCACUGAGCCCCUGACGCGCACGUUUCGCCGCCAAGCUCAUCAGAGGGGAACCAGCUUUAGUAAUUAGCCGGUAUAAAUAGGAGGAAAUGACUUCUGAUAGGUCCAAUUCAAAUUUGUUUAGGAGGAGAAAUUAACCAAUCUGUCUCUAUACAUAUCACAUCAUUCUCAAUGGUUAACUUGCCGGGAAAAUUUAACAAAUUAGUGAAAACAUAUCAGAAGGUUCUUUAUUUUGAAAUCCAGUAUAUGAGACAAUUAGCCUGAAUAACUGGAAACACAAAAUGGUGUUCAUUCAAUUUUUAUUGUAAUUGCAAACUUGAUUAAUAAAGCAUGCCUUAUGAUAAGCAUUGAUAAGAGUAAUGUUUUUAUUGUGCUUGACAUUGUGGUUUGUACUUAUAAGAUGUGUUAAAAAUAAUACAAUUUAUGGUAUUGUUAUAGUAAGUUAGUUAUACUGAUUAGCACAGAUUUAUACAAUGUAAUAUAUAUACAAGGAAUAAUUCGUGAACCGUAAGACAGCAAAAAUUGUUGUUAUUAUACUUGAAAUUUACCUUGAUAGAUAGUCUACUUAGAUGUGAUAUUGCAAUCUAAUAAUAUAAAGUUGUAUUGUAAAGUAUCAUUAUAAUGGUUAACUUAGUAAGUAAAAAUCGAUUCAUGAUUUAAAGGACCACUCUAGGUACCCGGACCACUAUAGUGCCAGGAAAACAUACUCGUUAUCCUGGCACUAUAGUGCCCUGAGGGUGCCCCCACCCUCAGGGUCCCCUUCCCGCCCGGCUCUGGAAGGGGGAAAGGGGUUUAAACUUACCUUUUUCCAGUGCUGGGCGGGUAGCUCUCCUCCUCCAUUCCUCCUCCUGGGCUGAAUGCGCACGCGCGGCAAGCGCGUUUCUCUGAAACUGCUAUGUUUAUUAAAAAAUGGGUUAACACUAGAAGGACCUGGCACCCAGACCACUUCAUUAAGCUGAAGUGGUCUGGGUGCCUAGAGUGGUCCUUUAAUGAAGUGGUCUGGGUGCCAGGUCCUUCUAGGGUUAACCCAUUUUUUUUUAUAAACAUAGCAGUUUCAGAGAAACUGCUAUGUUUAUGAAUGGGUUAAGCCUUCCCCCAAAGCCUCUAGCGGCUGUCUCAUUGUAAAUGCUUUCCUAUGGGACCGGCUGAAUGCGCACGCAACUCUUGCUGCGCGUGCACAUUCAGCCGAAUGGGCGGAGAGGAGGAGGAUCGGAGGAGGAGAGCUCCCUGCCCAGCGCUGGAGAAAGGUAAGUUUUUACCCCUUUCCAGAGCCGGGCGGGAGGGGGUCCCUGAGGGUGGGGGCACUCUCAGGGCACUAUAGUGCCAUGAAAAUGAGUAUGUUUUCCUGGCACUAUAGUGGUCCUUUAAAGUAUGCCAAUGGAAUUUGAUAAAUCUUGAGAGAUGAACUAAAACAGAUUUCUCCUUGAUCGUAGCGCCAUAGUUUGUACAUUCAGUAACAUAAUGUCAUGUUUCUGAUCGGGUCACAUAAGAUACUUAUACCGGGGUAGACUAGGUUCUUUAUUUGAAAUCUUUUACAUGACUUGUCAAGAAAAACAAUACGUGUAGCAGGACUUGAAGGGAAGUGGAAAUAAUAUAGAGGAAUGAGAGUAAUAAGGAGAAUCUAAAAUAGAGGGUUAGGAAAUAAAGUCUAUAAAGGAAGAUAUAGGACAAAGGUAGAAAGCAGAGCCUAUAAGCGAGAGUAUAGGUAAGUAUUUGAGGGAUAUAAAAGAAAGAGUUUAGACAAUAAGCACCAGACAGGUAAUUAUGUAGCAGAAUAACCUAUAGGUGAGAUUAUAGGCAAUAGAUAGACGUAGAACCUAUAAGCGGGAUUAUAGGUUAUAUAGGUACAAGGUAGUAGGAGAUUCUGUAAGUGAGAUUAUAGGUAAGUAUACAGAGAGAUAACAGAAAUAAAGAGUUAGGCAAUAUGCCCUAGACAAGUUAUUAGGUAACAGGAAAACAUAUAAGUGAGAUUAUAUGUUACAUGUAAACAAAAUAUAGCUAGACAGAACUAAACAGAAUAUAAAGGUUUAAGAAGUACAGGUUAGUUAGAUAUUUAGGGGUUUCGGACUCUUUGAUUUGGAGGCAGUACUCCAGUUUUCAGAUAGUUGUAACAGGGUCAUCCACGAUAGUUGCAAAUAAUAGGGAUGUUUGUAUUAUCCAGGUUGGUUGCGUAGAUUUCAGUAGAUGUUAGGUAGAUUUGAAACAAAGUAAUAAGGUAUGGAAUUAAGCAGGUAGGUAUUGACGAUCAGGUUUGUCCCCAAGCUUGUUGGUAGUAAACGGAUUGUAAAUAAAGCAGGUUGAUCAGAUAAAUCAGAUUGGGUUCAAUGAUAUUCAGAGUAGAGCAGGUUUUCUCAGUAGGAGCCUGGAUCAGAAGUCUAGGCAGGAUCAGAACCUCAACUUCAAUCACUCAAUAUAAAAGCCCUUUGUUUAGCAGGGUGUGGCCUCUUAUAGCAGAUUCAAUAAUCAUGUUAGGCAAGUGAGCAAAACUGUGGUUAGACUAGUGGCUAGGGAGGCCACUAGUGGUAGAAAACUGGAAAUUGUAGAACUAAAACAGCAAAAAUUAAACAUAACUUUGGUGGUCAGGAUAGGAUCCUGACACAUAAUGUGUACCUGAUCUUUGGUUUCAGAUCCAUAGGGCGAUUUUGUAAUUAUAUAUAGACAGCACUGAUGCCAUUAUUAAAAGGCAAUGGGUCAACCUUGUGAUGAUAUUAUGGUUCUUUCUCUUUAGGUUGUUAGGAGUAAUAACUGAUGAUAUUGUUCCUACACUGAGUAUUUGUACAUUCAUUUUAUUACAUGACAGGAGGCUUCCUAUUUUGCCUAACUUUCUUUACUUAUGCCUCCAGCAGCACAAGUCAAUCAAUCAAAAAAAACAUUAAACCAAUCAGAGUCCAGCAUAGUAUGCAUAUAAAUCCCUGACAGGCAUCUCAUUUCCUCUUUCUUUGCUGCUCCAGCCAGGCACAGGUAAGAGUAAUUUGUUCUCUGCUCAUUCUAUUUAUUAGGAUUAUUCAUUUACACUGUUUCUUAGAUUGUCUCAUUUACAUCAUCUGAGAUAGUUAGAUUGCUUUAUUUCCCCUUCUCCCACUAUCUCUCCGAUUUUAUACUGAACCUCCUUUCUACUUGACCCCUAUUGCAGCUAACCUGCUUCUCCCUGUCGCCUUUCUCCGUGAUUGCGGCAGUUUACCGCGAUCGCGACUAUCUUGCAGGGAAGGGGGACUUUCUGGAGGGUACAGCGGGAGGUGGGAGUCUGGGACUCUGUUUGCCACCUGGCGAGCCGCUAUCGCGGUCCAUGAUCGCUAGCCGCGCCAGCAUUAUUUGCGUGCAAGCGGCGGCCAUCUUGGAUCUCGCGGAUCGUGAGAUCCAGGUCGGCCAUCUCUUCUCCUACCAGAUCGUGAUUCACACGAUCUAGUUCACCCAAUCAUACACUCACACAAUCCUUGGCAUAAAUUUGUUGCUUUACUGUAUACUGCUAAACUUUACGAGGGUUACUCCACAAACACAUACUGUUUCAAUAUUACUGUGGUCUUAUAUUUUCCUAUUGUUGAUUCACUUUGCAAUGCACUGAUUACUGAGACUUGUGGAUAUGCAUAUUACCCUCACACUCCCAUAGAGUGUUUAUGCCAGAGGUGACCCCUCAUCAUUGGGGUGACCCCCCACGCUUACUGCUAUUGUUACUAUUACAGGUGUGACCCCCCUACGCUGGGUGACCCCCAGAUGUGAAUUACACUGGAAUCAGUGUCAAACGCAUUUCAGGGGUUACCCCGUUUACUGAUGGGGUGACCCCCCACGUACCCUCGUACGUAUCAUACCUUGACUAUUGGUCACGUUUAAUAUAUACAUGAUACCGACACCUCCACACUACGACUGGGGUGAUCCGCAUGCCUCCUUAUAAACUAAGGAGAGAGAGCAUACAACGCUAAGGCUCCACUGGGCUAUACGUUAUUGGGUGACCCCCAAAUAACAAUAAGGGCUCCAUGCCCUGAACGGGCUCCGUCGUGAUUACACAACCACUCAUCCCAGUCUCAUAGAGGGUGACCCCCUCCCCAGCCCAUAUAUAUAUAUAGAAGAGAAGAGAAAAAUCAGCGCUCAACUGCCACACAAAUGGAUAAAAAGGCAGCACUACAAAAAGAGGAAUCCCCUAUAAUCCCCCAGAUAAUAGAAAACGCCUCAUGGACAAAUGCCCAACUCCAGAGAUACUACAGCUGGCUCCCAGACCCACAGAGCAAAGCGGUAGAUCCUAUUUAUUAAAUGAAGAUAGUUGAAAUUUACUUUGAGAGCUAUUCUACUUAGAUAACAUAGAUCACUCAUGAGGAGCUGCAAUUUAUGAAGUGGUUAAUUUUGAAUAGUUUGAUAGCCACUAUGAGACAUGUUGGUUCAUAGCCACUUUGAGAACAGGAAGACAUCUCCCCAAACUUGGCUAACCAGAAUGAAUGGAGUUUUCAAUUUUUUUUGGAGUUUUCAAAUGUGGACAGUAAAAUGCACGAGAACAACCAAAUUAUUCAAAAUUUACCACUUGAUAAAUUGCAGCUCCACUCGAGUGAUCUAUAUCAUUACAUGCAGUUGUGGGUUGCAAUAUAUUGGCAAAACCUACCAAAAAUUUUGUAAAUGUAUAUUACAACAUAAAACCACAAAAAAUCUACAAUACAAAUAUCACAUCUCUCGACACCAUAUAAUUUAUAAAAAAAGAUGUAUUAUUGAACUCACAAAUGCAGGUAGUUAGCAAGCAGAAUCAAUAAUCGCUGUAUCAGGGAUCCGUUGAUGUUUCAGCUCCCAAAUAUUUUCGGUAUGAUCGUCCUAUAGAGAACAGGUUGGACAAUGCCAACAGGUCUGGGAACCAUGCUUGGCUUCUCCAUAAUGAUGCUAUUAGUAUCAUUGUUGUCUUGGACAUGCAGAGUUUGUGGAGUACUCUUGCCAACAUCGAGAAUGGUGGGAAGGCAUAGGCUCCGAUCUGGGGUCAUUGUUGUAGAAAUGCGUCUACCGCAGUUUUUCUCGCCAUUAAAUGGUCUUUCUAAAGAUACAAUUAUUUUCAUCAUAUCAUAUAAUGUACUAUAAAAAAGAUUAUAAAAUAUGCUGGUCAUAAUGCACCCAUGUCCUAUUUGGGACAUUUAUUUACUUGGCCAAUGUAAUUUGCUCUUAUCAAACCAUAUAUUUUUGAAAAGUAGACACCAUAGGGUAUUUCAAAUGGUGGUAUUUUAACACUUUCCAUGCACUAAUGCUACCACCAGUCUUUGUCAGACAUUUGGGUAGUCAUUUUUUUGUGGUGUUAUUUUUCACACACAUUUUACUUUAGGCAUGGAUUCUCAGCUCCUGUUAAGUGUUACUGCCAAAGAACACCCCAAUACGUAUUCAGCAACAUCUCUUGAGUACAGUGAUACCACCUAUGCAUAGGUUUGUUGGGUUGUUUGGGGUGGGGGUGGGGGUGCAAUGCCAAACAUCUGAUGUGUUUUUCAAAUUUUACAUAUCUAAUUUGCCUGUCUUCUUUUUGGGGGCCUUUUUACAUAUCCUAAUUUAUUUUCUUGCCAUGAGCGUGCAUAUAUUUGAAUAGUUGACACCCUGAGUUAUUGAAUAUGGAGUAUUUUGAUGCCUUUGAUGCAAUCGUUUUAGUAAAAAAAAAUUGAGAAAAUGUGUGGUGGUAAUUUUUCCAUUUUCAUUUUUACACACAAAUUGCUUUUUUACUGUGAUUUAGGAGAGCCUGUUGUUGGUAUUGCAAGAAAACACUCCAGGUUGUUUUCUGCAAGGCCUCCUGAGUACAACCAUGCCCCCCAUGCAUAGGUUUGCAAGGAUUUUGGGAAGGUUCAGUUACAAUUGUAUGACUUGUUGUUUGAGUUGAAAUUGAGUGUAUUUCUACUGAUAGGCCUACCUUUAGUUUGGGGCUUAUCACAUACCCCAGUUUUAUUUAUUGCCAGGAACAUGUAUAUAUUUGAAAGGUAGACACCCCAAGGUAUUGUAUAUGGAGUGCUUUGAUGCAACCGUUUUAGCCCAAAAAAGAGAAAAUGUGUGGUGGUUAUUUUUCAAUUUUCAUUUUUACACACACAUUACUUUUUGACUGUGAUUUCGGAGAGUCUGUUGUUGGUUAUUGCAAGAAAACACUCCAGGUUAUUUUCUGCAAGGCCUCCUGAAAAAUGGACCAGUGUGUGGUAACGUUUGAAGCAGUCCCCAAUGCAGAGUCCAGACUGUCCAGGGCAAUCAGGACAGUAAUAUCCUUUUGUCUGCCCCCUCUUAAAACAGACUCUGCAUCUUUUUUGGGGAAUCCUGCUUGCCCGCAGUAGGGGCGAUUUUAAAAAUAAAAUGUGUAGCCCCAACUGUGCUCUCUCCCAUCUCCACCUGGGGAGCAGGUGCAUCACGGUACAAAAUCUCUGAAAUAUUCUGGAACUCCAACUGUAAAAAACUCAGUUGCAUUCCGGGGUUUGCUUUUUGAACAAUAAAAAAAGUUGUGAGUUGCAAUGCUCAUUAAGUAGAUUGCAAUCUUUUUGUAACAGGCCCUUGUCUUCCGUAUAAGUAGGUAGGGCUGCAGCAGCUGAUCUGCUAAAUCAACCCCACCCUUAUGCCGGUUAUAGGCCUUGAUGCACACUGGCUUCCUUGUGCUCUCAGCUCUGCCACCUACAGAGACCUCCACAGUCCUCUCAGUAUGGAUGGUGGUAAGAAGGUACACAGCUAAACUGCCAACAGCUCCUCUUGGCACAGAGUUGAGGUCUCCCCCCUUCGUAGCCGGGUGAGUGCAUGUUGUCUUGGAAAACCUGGGCGGUUCUUUUUUUUUCAAUUUGACAAUUUUUAUUAUUUUGAGCAAUUAAGGGUACAGAAAAGAAGAGGGUGGGGGGGUUGUAAAUAGAUUUCAUCAAUGCACAAUACAAGAUGCAAAGUAUCAACUCUUAUACACCUGGCAAUGAAAACACGUAUGGUGUACAUGUCAUGUACGCAGCAAACAUUGUGUUCCACUUUCCUCACAGGUCAUAAUACUGUGUUCAUACAUUUGGCAUAUCCCCAUAGGGGGUCUAAUAAAUUCUCCCAUAUGUCACUCUCCACGUCCCCACGUCGGCCCGCAGUCUCCCACCCAUUUGGAAGGUAUAUUUACAUUUAGUCACAUUUAUUUGGUAGGUACAUUCACAUUUAUUUGGUACGCAAUCUCCACGAGUCCCACAUAUCCCACGUUUUCAGGGAGGUGUGAUUCGGUGGGAACAGUGUUUUUAAUCCUUUCUCAUAUGAACACUGUGUGUCCAGGUCUGUGAGUAAGCGCAGUACACAAGGGGGGGUCGUUUGUUUCCAGUUUUGAGCGAUUAAUCGCUGUGCUGUUAGUACUAUAUGCUGUAGAAGUUUUUGUGUGGCCUUAGGUGGUCCCCUUGGUAGGUCAGUUAGCCACAGCUGUUGGGCUGCUAAGGGAAUGGAGCAACCAGUUGCUGCCUGUGCUGUUUUAUGGACACCCGCCCAGAGGGUCUGAAUGCGGGGGCAAGACCACCAAAUAUGUAGGACAGUACCCUCUGCAUCAUUGCAUCUCCAGCAUAUGUUGGAGGUAUAUGUUGGAGUAUGUGAGGGAAGUGAUCAGUGUUGCCAGUGACAAACCGGUGUGGCCACUUAGCAGGUUUGUAUGUUUGUCCCAGAGCUGCAGAAGUAGCCUAAUCGUGGGGGGUGCCUGAGGCAGCUGUGGUCUAGAUUUUUUGGGUAUCCAUAUUAUGUUGGCCAAAGCAUGUGGGGCCAUAAGUUCUCGUUCCAAAUGCACCCACUGUGGGGGGGAGGCAUGGUGAAAAUGUGGAAGGGCAGUGGCUAUGACAGUUGCACAGUAAUACAUGUGCAUAUUGGGUAGCGCUAGACCCCCACUAUGUUUAGGUGCAUUGAGCAAGGCCUGGGUCACCCUAGGUUUGUCCCCUUUCCAUACAAAAUGAUUUAUAGCUGAUUGGACCGUUUUGAAAAAGGAUCGGGGGAGCUCCAGUGGCAGGUUACGAAACAAAUAGAGCAGUCUGGGGAGGAUUGACAUUUUGACCGCUAUGACCCUCUCCAUCCAGGACAAGAACAUUGGGGACCAUUUCUUAAGUAGGUUACGGCAGCUAUUCCAUAGAGUUACAUAGUUUGCAGCGAAUAGGUCUGUGUGGGCCUUCGUGUAUGUAAUCCCUAGGUAUUUAAGUGUGUCCAUUCUCCAUUCGAACGUGUAGGCCUGCUGAUGUUGUUUGACCAGAGUGGCUGGUAGAGAUAUGCAUAGUGCCUGCAUUUUGGAUGCAUUGAGGGAGUAGUAGGACACUCUCCCAUAAUCCGAUAUCAUCCGCAUAACUACUGGGAGCGUGGUAUGUGGAUGAGUUAGGUAUAAUAAAAUGUCAUCCGCAAAAGCCUCCACUUUGAUCUCUUUGUGGCAGACCUUCACUCCCUGGACCUCACUGUUCAUUCUAAUCCCCUCCAACAAGGGCUCUAAAGCCAGAAUGUACAGCAAUGGGGAGAGCGGGCAUCCCUGCCUUGUCCCAUUUGUUAUGUGGAAUGGGGAGGAGAGGAACCCCGAUUGGAGCACUUGUGCUGUGGGACCAGCGUAUAGUGCAAAUAUUUGUUGGCUAACUCAGGGUGGGACUCCGUACGCCUCCAAAACCCCUUUAAGAAAGGGCCAGCCAAGGCGGUCGAACGCCUUUUCGGCAUCUAGUGCGAGUAGUAGACCGCCCUGUCUGGCCCCCAGAGCUGCUGGAGGACCACUGAUAGUUUGCGGGUGUUAUCCAGGCCUCAUCUGCCUUUUACAAAGCCAGUUUGUUCAUCUUUAAUAAGUGAGGGCAGCAGAGGGGCAAAUCUGUUUGCUAAAAUCUUUGCGUACAGUUUAGCAUCAGUAUUAAGUAGGGAGAUGGGGCGGAAGUUAUUACAAUUGUCAGUCGGCUUAUCAGGCUUUGGUAAGGUCACUAUAGUGGCCAGUAGCAUUUCCGUCGGCAGUGCUCCCCCCUCCAUCGCCUGGCGACAGGUCUCCAACAAGUGCGGAGCUAACGUCGAGGCUAAUUUUUUUAUAGUAUAAAUUAGAGAGCCCAUCCGCUCCGGGCAAGUCCUUGAUAGUGUCCUCCACUUCAGUCAACGUGAGGGGGCGCGUCAGGACCUCAAUCUGGCUUUGCGAAAGCUUUGGCAGUUUAAUGCGGUCAAGAAAUGUUUUCACUUCUACUUCAGUGGGAGUGUGUGUGUUGGGGUCAUCUUUCAGGUUGUAUAAUUAAUUGGAGUAAAAUUGGGCGAAUGUGUCGCUAAUCUCUUGCGGCCCCAAUUUCUUUGUCCCGUCCUCCCCUAGAAUGUGUGUUAUCCUAUUAGUUGAGAGUUUGUCUCGCAACCUUGCUGCCAAGUAUUUGUUAGCUUUCCCACUGGAAUGAUAAGUAGUAGCUUUUAGCCUAUUCAAAAAGUAUGUGGUUUUCACUGCGUUCAGUGUAUGUAAUUUGUGGUAAGCUUGCUGGAUUUCCGCAGCAAGUUCCUUAGUUGGGGUAGUUUUAUUCCUGUCUGUCAGUUCAGAAAUCUGCUUAUGGCACCGGAGAAGCUCUCCCUGCCUUUACCUUUUUAGGUAUGCGGAUCGUUUAAUGAAUAAGCCUUGGACGACCGCCUUAUGGGCCAGCCAAACCGAAGUUUCCAAUACAUUUCCCCCGCUAUUGAGGUGGAAGUAGUGGUCUAAUUCGUCUUUUACAAGACCGGCAAAGGAAUCAUCAGAGAACAGUGACUCAUUAAGUUUCCAAUUCCCUUUCCCCCUGAAUUGGAAAGUGUCGUGCAAUGUGAUGUAGACUGGGCAAUGCUCCGACCAAGCAAAUGAUUCUAUUUUGCAGUCUGCCAUUUGGGCUAGGGAUGUGCUAUCGAGCAGGAACGUGUCUAUGAGGGAAUAGGUAUUGUGUACUGCGGAGUGGAAUGUGUAGUUCUCCAGCCAUUGUAGAGACCAUGUUUAGAGAUGAGGGCAGUGAGACUUUUGCAGGUGUUGGAUAGUCGUCUACCCCUAUUGCGGGUUGGCUUAGCCGAUGUGUCCAACUGGAUAAAGUUAAAGUCCCCACACAGUAUAAGGCCUCACUGGCGGUGGUCCUCCACUAUCUGGAGAUGUUUGGUUAGGAAAUUUGCAGAGUCAGAGUUAGGGAAGUAGGCUGUAACCAGUGUGUAUUGCGUUGCAUUAAAAAGGCCCACUAAUAUAAUAAAUAUCCCUUGCGGGUCAAUGUAUUGUCUCUAGACAGUCAGGGCCACGUCUCUGCUAAUGAGAAUCGACACCCCUUUUGUUUUGUUAGCGGAUUUAGCAUGACAUUGGAUGGGGUAAUGCUUAUUAAAUAACCUUGGUUCCGUUGAUGACUUAAAAUGGGUCUCCUGGAUACAUGCUAUAUCAAUAUGUUGGUGUUGCAGAGUCUGAAACAGUAGGUUUAUUUUAUUUGGGGAAUUAAGCCCCUUUAUAUUGUAGGAGACUAAUGUGGUUAGGUACCGGAUAAGUACUGACUCAAGUCUCCCAGUGGUAUAGAGUGUAUGCUGAUGCCGUCAACUAAUACGUUGUUGCGGUUACCAUACAGGUUAGGUAUGACACAUAAUGAAAAUACACUUAAAGUACAUCCCCCUUACUAAUGGCCAUAGGACCAGACUAGGCAAUUGACAAAGGCACAACAAAUUAACAUAUUUGGAACAGUUAGUGAGAGAUUGGUCUAGCAAUCAUGCAGUAUAUACUCAGCCUCCUUUUUAGGCCGUGGACCAGUCCGCGGACAUUCUGGUAUCUUUGCUGCAGGUUGCAGCUGUAUGUCCGGUCCAGGGAGCCCCCAGUCCGCCAGUUUCUUCACGCCCUCCUCCACGGAUGCGAUGGGGUGGUUGGAGUUGUCAUUUGGACGAUGAGUUUGGCCAGGAAGCCCCACCGGUACGGAACUUCAUGUGCUCUCAGUGUGGUGGUGACAGGGGCUAAUGACUUGCGGAAUAGGAGUAUAUGCGCUGACAGGUCUGCAAAAAUCUUUAGGCCCCCAUAUUGAGAGGAUAAGUUGCUGUGUCUGGUAGGUUUGACAAUCUUCUCCUUUACAUGGAAAAAGUGCACUCUAGUGAUGACAUCUCUGGCCGUCGAAGCUGGGAGGUGUUGAGGCCUCCUGAGUCUAUGCGUCCUAUCCAGGCCCACCUGCUCCGGGUGUACUUCAGGUAUUAGUUCCAGGAAAAAGGCCUGGAGGUAAUUGUGUAAGGCCUCAUUCGUGACAGAUUCAGGGAUACCCCUAAUGCGCAGGUUAUUUCUCGUGGAUCUAUCCUCCAGAUCAGCAAUUUUCAGCUUCUUCACAUGAUGAAGUUGGUCUGCCAUGCUGUUAUGCGCUGAGGCAUGUUUACCGACUGUGUUCUCUAUGUGGGAUGUGCGUAGGCCCAAGUCCUGUUCACCUUCAGAGUUCACCUGCCAGUUACUUCAUCUGGCCUGUAAUGGUGCCCUGUAGCUGCAAUGUGAAGUCCGCCAUGAAGGACUUUGUCGCUAUUGUGAGGGGGCUAUCCUCCAGUAUUGAGUUAGGCAAGGAGGGGGGGCGGAUGGAGAGCCCUCCCUGGCCACUUACGGCUUUAGUCAUAAAGAAGGAGGCUUUGUCCGCUUUUGUCGGCUUCUUGGCACUACGGUGAGACAUUGCGCCAGUCUCUGCAGGUAUUCUGCGGUAGAUAAGCUGUGUAGCCCGGUUAGUUUCUCCCCUGGCGUGUAUCUCCUCGGAGCUCUAAGGAGACAGGUCCAUGAGGCUCGGGUGUUAGGCCACGCCCCUGGGCGGUUCUUUUUUAUUGUACCGCAAGCUACUGUAUCAAAACAAUAUAAUAGCUUGAACAAAGGGACACUUGUAUAACAAUUGUCUGUAUAAGUGGUACCCUUUGUUCAUCAGGGGGAAUAUUAGGUCCCAGACAAUUGUGCCACUGGUUCCUAUAUGUUCUGGGCAACCUGGAGGGUCAAUGUGGGUAUCCUUUCCCUUGUACACCGGGAAGGCCUGAGUAUACCCAGUCUCGCUAUCACAGAGCUAAUACACCUUUACACCAUACCUGGAGUGCUUGGAGGAAAUAUACUGCUUGAAUUCCAGCCUUCCCUUCAUCAGGGUGUCACCCACACAUAUAUUCCUUCCAGCCUCUGCAAAACUGGCAGCGAAGUGGGUAAUCAGGGGGCAGAUUUUAUACAGUCUGUCAAGCUGGGGAUGCUCCCCAGGGGGACACAGGCUGUUGUCGCUGAAGUGCAUGAAAUGUAGAAUCAUUUCAUACCUCUUCCUCGACAUACACUGGGAGUAAAUGGGGAUAGAGCAGAUGAGGCUACUGCUCCAGUAGGAGCGGAUGGAGGGCUUCUUUAUGAUACCCAUCAGCAUAGUCAAUGCCCAAUAUUUACAGUACAUACAGAAAAGACAUACAAAUUUAACAAGGCACCAGAACAUAUGGGCACUUUUUUAUUGAAACAAAUAUUAGCAUAAUAUUUAUUUAAAGCAUAUAAACACGUCACAACAUAGGACAUUUGUGUAUAAAUUGCUUUGCAGACAAACUUAAAAAUAUAAAUUGUGUACAUUUAUUUAAUUUUAAAUGUUCUUUUAUUGGUUCAUCCUAUUUAAAAAUAUUUGGAAAAUGAAAUGAUUUAGAUACUAAACAGUGUAACAUUUCACAAAGGGUCUGAAACAUCAGCAAAAAAAAAACAAAGAUGCAAAUUCUCUCACAAACAGUACAUGUGACAAAAUAGAUAAAUAAAAAUGGUCAAAUUCCUUGCUUAUGGGUCUUUCCAAUGACCAUGAAGGCAUUACUAGCAGUGCAGCUUACUGAAAAUGGCAACAGAAUGUAAAAAGAAUGCUUGCAUUUUUGCAUAAUGCAGUAAAUACUGUUAAAUUAUAUAUUUCUAAAAUAUAGGUAUUUAAAUUGCUAUAGCAUUCUUGAUCAAUCUCUGGGCUCGUAAUGUACUGCUGACAGUAAAAUGGUAGAGUCCACUCACUUCUUUCUUCUCCCUGAUUGUAGGAAUGAUAUGAACCAUUGAAAAUUACUGUAAUGUUUGAAAGCUACUUUACAUGCAUUAUAUCAGUGAUUAGUAACUUCUGAGAAAUGCAUUCCUUUACAGGCUGAUAAUCAUAAUCAGAGUAUAAGUGAGGGUAAAUGAGGCUUUAUUUAUUAGAUUAAUGAAUAAACCCAUAAGUGUACUAUGUGGAUACUUCCCAUAAUUCAUGAUUGCAUGUUAUAACCCCAUUUUAUGUUGGUUCUCACUGGUACUGUUAAUUUUGUCACCUCUCUACAGUAUGAUCUAUCACCAAGUUUUUUUUUUUUUGUUGUUAGUGAAACUAGUAUCUUGUAGAGAUAACCCACAAAAUAAUAGGUAGAAUUCUGAAGUAAAUUAAUAGUUUAUUUAACUUACCCCCUUUUUUAUAUGAUUGGGGAAUGCAGCCUCAUGUAUUACAUGGAAAAAGAGAAGCAAAUAUACAAUAGUGAGUAUAAUAAAACAUAAUAGUGAACAAUGGUAAUCUAUUGAGAUUUUGUGCCUCUAGGUAGCACACCAACCCUUUUGACAAUAUUGUCUACCAAUAAUGCAGAAGAGCAAUGCACAAAUAGUGUAGUAUUCUCUAGACGGAUUGGACUUUAACAGUAGCAAAGCAGAAAAAACUUGUUCACUUGAUCCAGAGCCUAACUUAACCAGCUCUGCGUAAAAUAGCAUUGUACCUAAAUGGCGAUGGCACUCCCCUCCUUUGAAGUAAUCUGAUCUGGAUCCAUGUACAAAGUGCAGCUUAAGGAGAGAUAUACUGAAGGUAUCAGUAGUUAUGUAAAACUUAAAAUUGUAUGCUGAAUAAAAAUCAAUCUUAAUUCCUUCCAAAUGCCUCUGGAAUGAAUCUCACCUAUAAUGGACUAAGUCAACAGAUUGACAAAGCCCAUUAUAGGUGGACCGCAUUUUGGAGGGAGGGUAAGUUCACUGAACUAUUAAAUCACUCCAGUAAUCCCUUUAUUGUUUUGUAGGUUAUGUCUGAAAUACAGUACUUUCACAUAUUUUAAUUUGGUGUCUCGUGAGAGAAAAACACUAAACGAGUUUGGAUGCAGCUUAAUUUUAUUUCUACUCUCAUAUUUAUUGAGUGAAGUGUCUGCCUCCACUUGGCAUGAGUCACUUUUUUUUUUUAACUUAAGUUGUUUUAUAGGUUUAUCAACUAAAGUAAUAAUUCAAAAUAAACUCAAAGUUAAUUUAAAAUUUUAAGUCAGAAUAGCUGAACUGGAAAAAAAUCUCUAAGCUAACUAUGUUGUCAUUUAAAUCAUUUGGAACUCACUUUGAAUUCUCACUUUAGUAAAUAAACAUGCUAGUUUUACUGAAUUAGGGUAUUGGUUGAAAAUUAGAAAAAGUGUAUAUGCAAAGAAUAAAAAUUUAAAAUGUUUUUUACUUUAAUGUUCAGCAUUGUCUUAGGCAUUCUAUGGUAUCCCUUAUUUUGCAAUAUCUGCAGAUUACUAUUGCAAAAGGCAAACCAUUCCUGUACUCUGCUUAGAAAACUCUUAUCCAGGGGCGGACUGACAACUCAUGGGGCCCCUGGUCAAUCAUGAGAUCAUGGGGCCCGCCUUGUACCCACUAUCUUGCAGGAUGCACAAAUAUACAUAAUGCAGACAUACAUGCACCACCUACAUAUACAUUCUUGUGUUAAAGAAAGGGUUGUAAUGUGGGGGGAGUAGGGACUUCAGUGGGGGACAGGAGCUGUAGCGUGUGGGACUGGGGCUUUAGUGCGGAGAUAAGGGCUCUAAUGUGCAACAGGUGCUCUAACGGCGGAAUAGACACUGUAGUGGGGUAUAGGGGUUGUAAUUGGGGAUAGUGUGGGGCUUGGGUGGUUAGGGAAUGUCAUGGGGGAUAGGGGCUGUAGUGGAGAAAUCGGGAUUAUAGUGGGGAAACAAUGGCUCUAAUUGGGAAACAGGAGCUGUAGUGACGUGGUAGGGGAUGCAUUGGGAGAAGAAAGGAUGUAGUGGGGCAUAGAGGAUGAAUUUGGGGAAUAGAGACUGUCUUGGUGGAUAGGGCCCUGAGUGGGACACUGCAAUAUCACAAGUGGAUUGUAAAUUGUAGGCUACAUAGCAAAAUAAUUGGCUUACAAGGAGGUAUGUUGUUAUUGGUGUUAUAGCUGAUACAUUGUAGAAAGAGCUCAAGCUGCCCUGCUAUUAAGUAUGGGGUCUACGAUGUUAAAGGAAACUAUAGUGUCAGGAUUACAAACAUGUAUUCCUGACACUAUAGUUGCAAGAGCACAUUUUAGGUCCCCAGUACCCCUCUGUCUCCAUGGCUGAGAUCAUUAAAUUUAACGAUCCCAGCCAAUCCAAUGCUUUCCAAUGGGAAAACAUUGGGAGGCUAUUGCACAUACGUGGCAAAACAAUGUGCUGUGUCAGUCAGCAUAUCCUCAUAGAGAUACAUUGAAUCAAUACAUCUCUGUGGGGAGCAUUCAGCGUCUCCAUGCAGAGCGUAGAGACACUGAACAUAAAUGCUACACACUGCGCAGCACUAACCCAGGAAGCACCUCUAGUGGAGAUCUGAGUGACUGCCACUACAGGUGAUCCUAGGCGGUAAUUUAAACACUGCCUUCUUUCUGAAAAGGCAGUGCAUACAUUAAAAAGCCUGCAGGCACAGGCUAUAGACACCAGAACAGUACAUUAAGCUGUAGUUGUUCUAAUAACUAUAGUGUCCCUUUAGGUUUGCCUCUGAUAUAUUAUUCCCCUGUGUUGUUAUAUGAAUGCUUUGCACUUAGUGGUGGAACUACAGUAGAGAGGGCACUGUUGAAAUAAUUUUUGGGAGGCACCGCUGAUUGCAAAGAUGUUGUUCAACUGACACAAUGCUUUGCCAGCUGGGGAUCUACCAUUUGCCCAUCCUUGCUGGAUUGUAUUUCGCACAGAGCAGCGUUUGUAUGUUUGAAUGUAAGUUUUUGUAUAAAGUAUCUGUGUGUGAAUGUAGGAAUGUAUUUGUGUGUAAUGUUGUGUGUUUUUAUGUGCUGUUGCCAUAUGAAAGCAGUGGUUUACUUGUGUGUAAUGUUUGCUUUUGAAAGUAGGGGUGUAUGUGUGAAGUGUUAGAGUUUGAAUGCUGAGAUGUAUACACAGACACACACAGAUACACAGGUACAGACAUGCAGAUACACAGGCACACUGACAACAUACAGAUACACACACUGACACACAUGCAGAUCAGUUAGUUUUGUCGACAAAAUUUUAGUCAAGUUUUAGUCGACUACAUUUUUUGAGAUUUAGUCGACUAAAACUAGACUAAAGCUAAAACAAUUCAGAUGACUAAAAUACGACUAAACUAAAAUGGCUGAAUGACUAAAACGAAAUUGGAAUUUGCCGCCAAAAUUAACACUGAUGCAGAUAAACAGAAGUACACUAACACCAUACAAAUAUACAGACACAUAGAAACACAGAAAAACAAAUACAUGUAUACACAUAUACACUGUCACAUACAUACAGACUCACAUACAGAUACACAGGUACAUACAUGUGGAUUCACAGACACACACUGACAACAUACAGAUACACACACUGACAUGCAUGCAGACACACAUGCAGAUACACACACAGACACUGAAACACAUAUAGAUACAUACAAACAGUGGCACACAUACAGACACACAUUGACACACAGAUAUACAUGUACACACAGAUAAAAUGCACAAAGAUUACAUAUUUUUAGCCACCCCCCAUACCUUUUUAAUGCAGGAGGGUGGAUUCCCUGUGGUCCAGUGGCAUCUGGCUGCGUGUGAUGGGAGCCAGUGUUACAGGCUCUCUUCCGGUCCUGGCUCUUAGCCUGUCUCCCUCCUGUCUCUCUUUCGCGUGGUAACUUGGUAUGCUGGGGGGAAAUUACUUAUACUCACUUCCUCCUAGCACCGCAGCAUUACACACCGCAAGGGCACGGUCGGCACCUGACUGGGCCUCUGAUAAGAGAUGUCCAGUGAUGGGCCCCAAGGGCAUACCUAGAGCAUUUUGCAACUGAGGCGGAUCCUAUAUUUGGUACCCCGCCCCUCCCCCCCAACUUUAAAAUGUAAAACAUUUUUUUAAAUGUUUUUAAUGUUUUUACCACUGAGCAGUGUUAGUGUGUUUGAACGUAAGCAUGUUUUUGUAUGGAGUAUGAGUGAGUGAAUGUAGAGGUGUCUGUGUUUGUAUGUAGUGUUGGCAUUUGAAUUCAGGCGUGUAUUUGUGUGUAGUGUCGUUUUUGAAUGCAGUGGUGUAUUUAUAUAGAAUUGUGGUGUUUUAAUACAGAGAUGUGUUUGUAGGUAGUGUUGACAUUUGAAUGCAGGGGUGUGUUUGUAUGUAGUGUUGACGUUUGAAUGCAGUGGUGUGUUUGUAUGUAAUGUCGACAUUAGAAUCCAGGGGUGUAUAUGUGUGUAGUGUUGAAGAGAUGCUGAGAUGUAUGCACAUAUAUACAAACACACAGAUACACACACAGACACAAACAUGGGCACACACACAGAUACACAGACACACACACAGAUACAGACACACAUGCAGCUUCAUAGACACAAACACUCAAACAUACAGACAGACACACACAUACACACACUGAUACACAUACAGAUACAAAGAGACACACACAUAUUACAGACACACAUGCAGCUACAUGGACUUACAUAGACACAAACACUCACACACAUACACACACACACACACACACAAAUCACAUGCAUCUACAUAGACACAAACAGAUGCACAUAAAUACUCUAUUACAGAGCCCCCUUCCGCUCCAAAACCCCUGCCCAGUCUCUUAAUAAAAAAUCAACAAUAAGAAGGAAAGGCUACCUACAUUAAAAAGAAUGAUAUGGCCCAAAACCAAUCGAUAGUGGAGCGAGCAGAAAGGCAGCUCUGAUCCUUCUGUGCCGCGCACUGUUAGAAGCACCGUGAGGGCAGCGCAUGCCGACGUCAGUACGUGGCGAUGCGCACCUCCCGGGUAAGCAGCAAUGGGCCCUGCCCCCUCCCAGGCAAUCAGCGAUGGGCCUCCUCACGGUUAAGCACCGAUAGGCCCCCUCCUGGGUAGCGAUGGGCCAGAGGACUGCGCUGUUAAUUAAGUGUCUGACAGUGCACACACAGAAUAGCUGGUCGGCGGGCCCCUUUCCUCGGUCGGGCCCUUAGACCAUGUCCGAAGUGCCCGACCGCUCAGUCCGCCCCUGCUCUUAUCCAUCUCUCUCAGGGAGAAGAGAGAGGCUACAUUUAUACUCACUCUGAAGAAAUGUAAAGAAAUAUAAUAGAUACCUUGCAAUGAAAAAAGUUUGCAACUCAAAUCAAAGGUUUGACUGUGUAUAACUGAAUACAAUGUGUAUACCUUUAACCCCUUAAGGACACAUGACAUGUGUGACAUGUCAUGAUUCACUUUUAUUCCAGAAGUUUGGUCCUUAAGGGGUUAAACUGUAUAACAUGCUGUUGGCAAAGAAAAGCUAUACGGGUUGUUUUUUUUUUUUAUUUUAGAAUUCUCACUUUACUGAAUAACCCUGUAAGCAAUUUGUUGUAAAUCUACUAGGUCUAAAUUGCAGAUAUUUCUGUGAAGUUAAAACUUUUUAAAGACAUGAAAAUAAUCGAAAAAUCCAAUAUUCAACCACAAAGCACUGGCAAAUAUAUUAGAGUAUUAUUACAGAUAAUUUAGCACUUCAGUAUGCCAUCCAAUUUUAAUCUAUGUUGCAGUUAGCAAUUUUAAACAUUAGUUAAAUUUUAUCUUGAUAAUUCAUUCAUGUCCUUUUAUUCUGUUGGAUUACCUUUGAUUCACAUUUCAUGUACUGUAGUUUGAACCUUACAAAUGUGUCAAAAUUACAUCAAAAUCAUCUGCCUUAAUAUCUUCUCUGCACUCUACUCAUUGUAUAACAUGUAAUGGGCCAUGCGUGAAAUCAAAAUAUAAUUUUCCUAUAAAUUACUGCUACCUUUUAAAAGCACUCUUCUGCAACACUUAAUACUACAGUUUUUAUUUUGAUAAAUGUUGAAAUGUUUUUUGUUUGUUCGUAAUAGUAGAUUUUAUAGCAUAUGAUCUGCAUUUACAUUUGUUGUACUCUUAGGUAAUGGUUAAAAAGUUGCUUUAAGAAAAUAAAACAAAUGCAGUGAAGUAAAGAUUAUUAUUCUAGUAGUAUGUGGUCUCUCUUUAACCUUAUACCAUAAGAAGGGAUCUUUCCACAAAAAUCCAACUUUUAUAUUCAAAUAUAACUCAUUAAGCCAUCUGUACUUAAAGGGACACUCCACUGCCCAAAUACAAAAUAAAUAAAAAUCAUGUUUGGAGCACAUGAGAACCUUGUGAAUGAAGGAUUUAUAUUUUUAUUUAUCUGAUUUUAUUAGAUUUUAAUAUAGCUUAAUAAAUAUGUGUUGCUAAACUAUUCUAAAGUCUGGUGAACUUCAGCUUUAUAUCUGCUUCCCUACUGAAAGAAGGGUAGUGUCUCUCAACAAAAACUCAUAUUUUGGAAAACCUAGAGCCAGGCUACAGAGGCUCUAAAUAAGGUGAGCAGGCUAUAUACUUGCACAUGGUACUUAUUCUUUUUUGUACUGUACUACACUAGAAUCUGCUGCUUUCUUCUCUUUAUUUCUCUUUUGAGUACAUCUCAAAUAGACAGAAGAGGGUUCUGUACAGGAAUAGUACAUAUGCGAUUUAUGAAAUAAACAUUAAAAAAGACCUUAUAGGGGGGGCGUGGCUAGGCACGGAGAGAGAUGGUCGCAUGAGCCCUUAGCUCCGCACCACGAGCAAGGCAAUACCAGCUAAAAGUGGGAUUCCUGCGGGAAAUCGGACUCCACUUUGACGAUGUCGCAAUCCAAAACCCGUCGGCAUCAAGACAAGCCCGACAAACUAAACUUUUUCUCCCAGAAAAAAGUGGCGGCCCUGGCGAGACAACUAGCCGCGGCAGAUCACCAAGAUGGCGCCGACCUCUCAGGGGGAAGCAGCCCGAGGUCAGAGGCAGAAUCACCGCACGACGGGGAACCACUCACUGCAGCCUUCCUGAAACGGGCUCUGGAUGAACAAUCCCAAAGACUAGUAGCUACCUGGCAAUCCAGCGUUGCAGAACUGAAACGAGACCUGCAAGAUGUUGGAGCUCGUACAACGCACGUGGAGGCCAAGAUGGAAGACCUAGUCGACGCGCACAACUCGUCCGCAGAGCACAUUAAAUCCCUCACCGACCAACUUCAGAAAUGCGAAGCUAAGCUCAUGGACCUGGAGGACAGAUCCAGAAGGAGCAAUAUUAGGCUGAGGGGUAUACCAGAGACGGUCCUCCCAGCAGACCUGCCCAGCCAUGUACAUGGCUUUUUCAAGCUCCUAACCCCAGAAAUACCCACUGACAUGCUGCUGCUGGAUCGCCUGCAUAGGGUCCCAAAACCCCAACACAUAGCUACAUCUUUACCCAGAGACGUGUUGUUGAAAGCACACUACUUCCAUGUAAAGGACCUCCUGAUGAGAAGAAGUAGAACUGCGAAAGACCUACCUGCCGAAUACACUGGCAUCAAAAUGUUCUCAGAUCUCUCGGCAGCCACCCUGAAACAACGGAAAACCUUCCAACAAGUGACAGAAACUCUACGCGCCAACCGUAUCCUAUACCGCUGGGGCUUUCCAGUCCGCCUGAUCGUCUCCAGAAACGGAGCCACCACCGUGGUACAAACGGCAGAAGAAGGCAUGAACCUCCUACACCAGUGGAAUCUAUCCAACACAGGCGAAAUUCCAACCCCGAAACCACCGAGAAGAGUGGGCAAAGACUGGCAGGUUGCCGACUAAGGACUUACCGCAAGUAUAUCCGCUCCGGCGGUCGAUACACCCACAUAACUCUAAUAAUUACUAAUGACUCCCGGCAGCUAUGGCCCCCAUAGCCGGCCUGUUACAGCUUAGUAUCACUGCUCUUUGCAGUACGCAAAUAAUGUUAAUCUUUAUGUUGUUUUUAUAACUGUUCAUGUUGUUUGCAGAUAGUACUAGCAAUAUUGUGAUACAAUGUGCCUAAUAGUUUACCCGGUGUUGACCCAUACUAUCCCCCAGAAACACGGGCAAUCCCUGGCUACACCUUACUAGAGGGUCACCAUACGACUAAAGCACCCCCAUGAAAACAGACGCAGAAGCGGCAACAAGCACUGCGCACAACGACCGAUACACGUAAGUGACAGUGACCUACCCAAGCCACUCAGCAGGCAUAUCCAUAUAGCCAAAUACUGGCCCCUGCCUCGACCGAUGUACCCAAGGACCCCGAAGGCAAACAGCAGGGGCGAAUCGUUAACCCUGACCCCGACCACUCACUCUCAUCAGACUUGGGCUGCCACACGAUGGGAAAACAUACAGACUAACCCAAGUUCCCACCACCCUGCACCCGAAGAGUAAUCAAGGUAGAAGCCCCCUAACUUACGUCAGAAACACUGAGCACUGUUUGGCAGACAACACACUCACAGGACAAGUCCUGUUAUAGCUUAGUAUCGCUGUAAGUCGCAGUACGCAAACAAAUGUUAAUCUCUAUGUUGUUUUAUGAUCGCUCAUAUUGUGUGCAGGAGGUGCCGGCAAUAAUGUGUUGUAAUUUGCCUAAACGUUUAACGGGUGUUGACCCAUGUUGAACCCUCAGAAACAUGUGUAAAUCCCGUCUACACCUUAUUACACUGUCACCACACGACUACUGUACUCCAAUGACAAUAGCCGCAGAAAUGGCAACAAGCAUUGCGCAUAUCAACCAAUUAUAUGAGUGACAGAGACCCGCCCGACCCUCUCGGCAGGCAUAUCCAAAAAGCCACAUACCGGGCUCCGCCCCGACAGAUGCACACAUUGCCUCCGAGAUGUAAAUAGUAAGGAUGGACUGCCAACCCUGACCCCGACCACCCAACCUCAUCGAACUUGGGCUGCCCUAUGAUGGGAAUAAUUUACAAACUAACCCAAGCUCCCACCACCCCGAAACCCAAAGGGUUAUCAGGGACAGAGCCCCCCAUAUUAAGCCACAGACACCAAGCACCACAAGGCAGAUAAUAUAUUCACAGGACUAGUUUGUGGACCUAUACGCAAAGCUGGGAGACCCCCCCCCGAUACAAAACCUACCUAAAACUGCCGAUUACUACCCCCCUCUCCAACUGAGACUCCAUAAGAAAAUCUCACUAUAUUUACAUAUGGUGCUCUUUACUUAUUCCAUGACCCACACUCAGAGAGCACACAAGACCACAUCGGAUUAUUAUUGCUCCUUACCAGUGCACAUUGCACCGCAUACAAGUAGCCUGCUCAGACCAUCACCUAUCCACCAUCUCCGAUCCCACGCUCCCCACGGCGCUGUGCCUCAGCGCCCUGCACCGAGAUCGGGCUUAUAUGUAUAUACUUAUGUUAUCCAAGUUUUAUUCCUUUCUAUCCUUGUUCUACCCCCCCCCGAAUUACGUUACCCCCCCCCUCCCCGUCCAAACAUCCAGACAGCAACCUGUCAUACAAAAUGGAACCUACACACCCUCUUUCUACAGGCAAAGGUGCAUGUAACAAAUCACAUCUCAAGAUACUACCUUUAUCGAAAGCGGUCUACCUUAUAACACACACUGAUAGUCUAUUCCCAUAAUGUGCGAGGGCUCAACAUGCCACAUAAAAGACACAUGUUACUUCAGGAAGCUCGGAAAUCAAAAGCAGACAUACUGUGCCUUCAGGAAACCCAUUUCCCCAAAGCCAAAGUCCCACAAUUUGGAAUAAAGCAUUUCCCCCAUCAGUUUCACUCAACGCAUACAUCUAAAUCCAGGGGAGUUACCAUUUACAUACACAACUCGGUAGCCUUUGAACUUCUACACACUAUCUCAGACGACCAAGGCAGGUACCUAGUUGUUAUCUGUCUAAUGAACAACGUACAAUACACAGUAGUCAACCUAUACGCACCCAAUGAAAACCAGAGGAAUUUUUUGGCCAGUACCCUCACAAAAGUGGCAGCUGCACAGCGAGGCAACAUGAUAAUAUGUGGAGACAUAAACCACAUCCUAGAUCCAACCCUUGAUACCUCCAUGCCCUCCACCACCAGCCGCCAGAAAUCCCUCAGACCAACUUGUAAAGCCAUAACACAACUGUUGCUGAAAUUCAACCUCUAUGACUGUUGGAGAUUACUCCAUCCCCUAGACAGAGAAUACUCAUAUUAUUCUAAACCUCACAAGACAUACUCCAGGAUAGACGUAAUUCUUAUAACAGGACCCUCUCUCAACCUACUUCAAACAUGCCACUUGGGAGACAUCAUUUGGUCAGACCAUGCCCCAGUACUCGCUACAUUCAAAGACAACUUCACCUUUAGAGGUUGUAAUCCAUGGCGACUUAACAGCUCCAUUCUACACGACGAUAAAUUUAGAUCAGAAAUAGAAACAGAACUCAAACACUACUUCUCUGAAAAUGAGACAUCAGGGAUGUCACCGACAACGAUAUGGAGAGCCCAUAAGGCCGUGAUGCGUGGGUUGUUUAUAAGACGGUCCGCCUUCCUAAAAAAGGUCUCCCAAACAAAUUACCUGAACUUACUAAGGAAAUUGAGAGACGCCACGGCGUCCCACCUUCUCCGCCCAAACCCAGGAUAUGCCGCAAUCAUUGCCCAAGCCCAAUCAGACCUUAACGACAUAAAUAUAGCCAACACUACCCGAAUGCUCCAAAAACUGAAAACUAAGGAGUAUUGUUUAGGUAAUAAAGCCAGCUCACUCCUGGCCAACAGGCUUAGGGACACACAAGCACAAACCAAAAUAGCGCACCUCUUUUCCCACGAUGGACGGAAAAUAGUUCAACCACAGCAGAUCAGCGAACUCUUUGCUGAUUUCUAUAGUAAACUCUAUAACCUUAACCCCUUAAGGACACAUGACAUGUGUGACAUGUCAUGAUUCCCUUUUAUUCCAGAAGCUUGGUCCUUAAGGGGUUAAAGACGACUCCACGGUACACCAGCCCACGACAGGAGAAAUCACCACAUUCCUGGACAAGGUCCGCCUACCUACACUCUCAGUCUCUCAACAAGACCUUCUGGCUGAGCCCAUCUCACAAACAGAAGUGCUCAUGGUUAUACAAAACUUACCGUUAAACAAAACCCCAGGUCCAGACGGACUGCCAAACACAUAUUACAAGAAGUUCUCCUCUAUCCUCACCCCCCGACUGGCAUCACUUUUCGCUUUCACCACAGCACAGGAAAACAUACCGCAGGACAUGCUCAUGGCCAACGUGGCCACCUUACCCAAACCUGGCAAACCAUCAACCCACUGCGCUAAUUUUAGACCAAUUUCCCUGUUAAACUCGGACGUGAAGAUCCUGGCCAAAGUCUAUGCCAAUAGACUGACCUCCAUUCUACCGACUAUUGUGCACUCCGACCAAGUUGGUUUUGUACGAGGCAGGCAGGGAGCAGACGGCACACGGAAAGCCCUCGCAUUACUACACACCAUGCACAGACACUUCCCCAAUAGCCUUCUCUUAUCCUUAGACGCGGAGAAAGCCUUCGACCGCCUGCACUGGUCGUUCCUGCAGGCGGUCCUAAUUAAAUUUGGAUUUCCUUCACAAUUUAUUUCCAUGAUCAAAUCACUAUAUAGCAACCCUGAGGCCCGGGUCUUCACGUCUGGAUUCCAAUCAAGUUCCUUCCCCAUUACCAAUGGAACACGACAAGGGUGCCCCCUCUUCUCCCUCCUAUACAUAAUGGCCCUAGAACCUUUGGCUGAGGCCAUAAGCUCAACACCAGACAUAACAGGAAUAAAAAUUGGCGGGUCAGAAUAUAAAUUAAACCUUUUCGCUGAUGAUAUCCUCCUGACUCUAACCAAUCCACACAAAUCUUUACCAGCAUUCCACAGCUUACUGCAGCAAUAUAGCCAUUGCUCAUAUUACAAGCUGAAUCUGACUAAAACACAGGCCAUGGGGGUGGGGAUGGAGGACGACUAUUUAUCAGACCUGAGGAACCAAUUCUCCUACGAUUGGAGAAGAGAUCACCUCACAUUUUUGGGAAUUAAGCUCCCACACACUAUAUCUAACUUGUACCACCUAAACUAUGUCAAACUCAGCAAAGACAUCACUACUACCCUCCUAAACUGGAGGAAUAAAUUCAUAUCAUGGUCGGGACGAAUAGCAGCAGUAAAGAUGGUAAUACUACCCAAACUACAAUAUCUAUUUAGGACACACCUUGACAAUACCACCCACCUACUUUUUAUCCCUCCAGAAACAAAUUAACCUAUUUAUAUGGCACGGAAAGCGACCGAGAAUUGCCCUAUCUACACUCCACCGGCCAGUGCAGACGGGCGGCAUGAGCCUCCCCAAUGUGAAAUUGUAUUACAGAGCAGCGGUCUUAGCCGGUCUCUUCCCCAUUCAUCAACGCACGUCCCUCCCUCAAUGGGUUUCUUUAGAGCAACACUGGUUGCAAACCCAAGACAUCCAAACAACACUAUGGACGGCACCACAUCUAAGGGCGAACACCACGAAAGCACUCCCCGCCACCUUAACAACACUAAAAAUCUGGGAUAACACCCGCAGACUCCUGUGCAGCUGCCACCCAACUCCCCUCUCAACCCCAAUUAAAACUCUGGUGCAAAUGAUACCUGAUUUUAACUACAGAGUGUGGAACAGAUGUGGGGUAUUUUAUAUACACUCCCUAUUAGAAAAGAGCGAACUGGCCACAUUCGACCAACUGAAAACCAAAUACAUAUUGCCGAACACAGCAUACUACUCCUAUCUUCAUCUGCACUCCUGGUGGAAAAUCCAUGUCACACGUCCCAUAUCGCCUACCACCACUAUCUUAACGCCCUUUGAAAAAAGCAUAAUAGCAGAUACGCCAGUGGUAAAGCCCAUUUCCACCAUAUACAAACUAUUACAGCCCCAGCAAGGGAUUAAAUCCCUUGCAUGUGUACGCUCCUGGGAAAAAGACUUAGACCAAACACUAUCAGAGCAGACCUGGCUGGCCGCAGCGAAUGCGACCAGAGGCCUGACAUUCUGUGCCUCGCACUUAGAGACAACACGUAAACUCUUCUACCGUUGGUACAUGGUCCCAACACGCCUAGCCACCAUGGACCCACAGAAAUCUAGCGUUUGUUGGCGUUGCAAACAGGAAACAGGUACCUUUUUACACACCUGGUGGAAAUGCACAAAACUACAGCCAUACUGGAAAGAGGUUAUCUUAUUAAUACACCAACACACCUCAAUUACGAUACCAAACUCCCCAAAGUCCUUGCUACUAUUUAUAUUGGGUACCGACUACCCGAAACAGAUUAAAUACCUUAUACUCCACAUACUGGUAGCUGCCCAAAGUCUUAUUGCAAAAAACUGGUUAUCGACCACUAACGCAACAAUGCGAGAACUGAUCAGACACAUAUCCCAAAUUGGGAAAUUCGAAUCUAGCAUAUCCCGCAUACCACCUAAUAAAAGUUGGAGACAUGAGGUAUGGGAAAACUGGGAACUGAAGCACCCGACCUGAAGUAAGGUCAACAUGAAGUAGCCAAUCACACGCACAGUAGCAAUUCUGAGAGUAGACACGAACACUAAUAAACAUACACUAAAAGCCACAACUACCAAUGCACAUCCCACACAGGUAGAAAUGAGCAUUUAUUAUGACUGUGAACUGUUAAACGACGAAAUGAUGUAGGAUGCAUGUUCCAUUGUCCAUCACCCUCCCCCUUCUUCCUCUCUGUACCCCUCUAUUGCAUGUUUAUGACAAAAUAAAAAUUGUCAAAUUGAAAAAACAAAAAGACCUUAUAUGCAUGUAUGUAAAAAAAAUAAAACAGAAAAAAUGGUGUCAGAAUACCCUCAGGUAAACAACCUAUGAUGUCUACUUUAUAUAAAUCUAUACUUUUGUGUGGCAAUUUUGUUUUCUGUGAUGGCUAUUAAGCUUUCUAGACAAACAUACCAAAUGUUACACAAUGGAAUUUUAUUUUACUCCUUGUAUUUUGUAACCUGUGACUAUCAAAAUAAACUGAAAUCCUAGAUUUAGUAUGUACUUGGUAAAUCAGAACCAACAAAUGAAUUUGUUUUGAAUUACUUUUUAAAGUUCACUUAUUAUGCACACAUUAAUAUUGCCAAAAUUUUUUAUAUGAGAAUUUAUAUAUGUAUCUAUCAUAUUAAAUUAAAGCCCUUUUUGUUCUUUAAAAAAAAAAAAAAAACAGUAUAUAGUAUAUGCAUUGGUGCAAUAAAUGAGCAAAAUGCAACAACAGCAAACAAUGCAAAUAUUGCUUGUGCCCUUAAGUGCAAGGCAGGCGUCUAAAGCUGGGUCCUUAAAGCGGCACUGUCAUGCCGAAUCCUGUUUCUUUUUAACCCCCCUCUGGCCUCCACUACAUCUAACUAACACCGUAGUCACCCCCAAAUGCCCCUAAGCCCCCCACAUUACAAAUUUUUUAAUCUUUAUUUUCUGUCCCGAUCUAUAUUCAGGGCGCCGCCAUCUUUGUGUGGAUAGAUGAAGUCCCUGUGGGACACGUCAUCAGCCCACACUUGAUAGCCUGUGAGAUUCCCGCUCAUGCCCAGUGAAACACCUGGACAUGCGAAUGGGAAUUUCAUCUAUUCAUUCAUCCAUCAGACAGCCGAAUGAGUGAAUAGAAAUAUCAGCCGAACAAACAAACACUAUGUAUCAGUGUUCGCUUGUUCGUGCAGGUUAUUACAAGGAGGGAGCUACCGGGGGCCAUAGUGAGAAUGGGGGGGGGACCUACUCCCCCCCCGCGGCCCCCACCCCUGGGCGGCAGGUGGGGGCCAUAGUGAGAAUGAAGGGGGGGAGCCUACUGCCCCCCCCGGCCCCCAGCCCUGGGCGGCAGGUGGGGGCCAUAAUGACAAUGGGGGGGGACCUACUGUCCCCCCCCCGGCCCCCACCCCUGGGCGGCAGGUGGGGGGCCAUGAAGAUAAUGAGGGGGGGUACCUACUGUCCUCCCCCCCCGGCCCCCCACCCCUGGGCGGCGGGUGGGGGCACUAAAUCAAUUACCCCCCCACCCCACCAAGGUGACUAGGGGUCCCCAAGCCCCUAGUCACCCAUCCCCCACCCAAAAUAAAGUCCCUACCUACCCCCCUCACCCUAAAAAAUAGUGAAGGGGGAAUAAAAUAACGAACCUGUAAAAUAAAAUUAAACUUACCAUUCGACGUCUUCUUUUUUCUCAAAUCUUCAUUUUUCAGCCCCAAAAAAGGCCAAAUAAAAAACCAACAUAACCGUUGAAUUGAAAACAUAAAAAUCCCGAGCACAAAAAAAAAAACCUGACGAAAAAGAAAAAACCCAAGCGCAAAAAAAUAAUCCAUCUUCACCCAUGGAUUGAGCUCCGUAGGGCGGGGGAAGGCUUAUAAAGCCUUGCCCCGCCCUGCAAUUAGGCUAAGAACACUCAGAUUAGUGGGUUUAAGCCAAUCAGAGUGCUCUUUGUCAUUUUACACAGCAUGGAAAAAUUCUAAAGAAUUUUCCCACGCUGUGUAAAAUGACACAGAGCACUGUGAUUGGAUGGAUUUCAAGCCAUCCAAUCACAGUGCUCUGUGUCAUUUUACACAGCGUGGGGAAAUUCAAAAGAACUUUCCCACGCUGUGUAAAAUGACACAGAGCACUGUGAUUGGAUGNNNNNNNNNNNNNNNNNNNNNNNNNNNNNNNNNNNNNNNNNNNNNNNNNNNNNNNNNNNNNNNNNNNNNNNNNNNNNNNNNNNNNNNNNNNNNNNNNNNNGUGGAGUCUAAAGAGGAAGGGGUGGGUUCUUAAUCAAGAAGCGGUGCGCCCUUGACAUGAAGGAGUGGUAAAUUUAGAUUAGGGGGUGCUCUAUAGUCAUGUCUAGGGCAGCAUAAAAUGAAAAUACACCACUGUGUGAGUGUAUGUGUGUGUGUGUGUGUGUGUAUAUAUAUAUAUAUAUAUAUAUAUAUAUAUAUAUAUAUAUAUAUAUAUAUAUAUAUAUAUAUAUAUAUAUAUAUAUAUAUAUAUAUAUAUAUAUAUAUAUAUAUAUAUGUAUACACACACACAUACAUACAUAUAUAUAUAUAUAUACACAUACAUACAAGUGUUUUGGUUUUUUUGGGGGAGAGUUCCCACACUUUUUUCCCCAGGACUUGACACCUGCUAUAAGUGAGUAGGGUGAGGAUCCUAGGCCACUACCAGAGACCAUGGGGAGUGUUUAACCAAUACUGCGACAAUAAUGGGGGAUAGGCAGAGUCAUAAGUGACCGCUAAUUGGUCCUGUGACUUCUGUAGCUAAACUACAUAUAGGGGGAUAUGGAAUACCAAGCUAUGAGGGCAGUUUUGAGCUAUCCCGGUAGCACGUAGAAUAUUUAAUUAUGGUCGUGCCAGCAUGGGAAGGGGGGUGUAUGUGUGGGGAAUUAAGGAUCCCUGGGCGUGGGCCUGUGUACAGCCUGGUGGAGGAAUUGUGUGCCAGCAUUGGCUGAUGUAACAUAGAACAGUUAGAGUGGAGUUGCUGUAGGUUUGGUGAUACUAUGCCUGAAUAGCAAGGGUCGGUUAGGAUGAUGAACUUGCUUGAGUAGAAUAUAGCAGCGAUGAGUAAAUAACCUUUUGCAUAAUACGUGAUUAUUUUGACGUAGAGUCAGGGGGAACAUAUGAUGGUAUGGUAAAGCCUGGUACACUAGGGUUUGUCCCAGGGAACAUGACGAUACAUAUACUGAACAUAGGAGUGUGGCGUGUUACAAAUAGGUUUAGCGAAUAGGUGGUCGUCCGCCAAAUAAGUAAUAUACAUAUCAUGGGAGCAAGUAUACAGAUUGGCCAUAACACGGUAACAAAUGUGAACGUGAUGACUGCCUCAGAACAGUACCAAGUCCAUGAGUGAUAAAAUAAGACAUAUGCAAUAUAUGAUGGUAAUGAAAUAUACGUAGUGAAUAUUAAACGCUUACCAGAGCUGAAUUAGUAAUGGGGAACUGACAAUAUCCGUGCACAAUCGUAAAUAAUAACAAGAAACAUAGCAAACAUAACCAAACUACAGGGGGCAUGUGAGGUUAACUAGUAGCAGGCUAAAUACUUUCAAAAAAGAACCUGGACAUUCAUAUAUCAGGGAACAGUGUAAAACUAAGGAAUUGGUACGAUGACUGUGAUGGCCGCUAGAUGGAAGCAUGUAAAUGAGAUAGACUGGAGACUAGUUCGGUAGAAAUUUGACGAAAAGAAAGUAGCGAAUAUGAAUGGAACAAAGAGCAGGCAGGAGUAGGUGAACUGACUUAAGUCCUCAACAGGAAAAAGUCCAGAAUGGACGGUAUGUAAGAACGUAAACGUGUGAACAAUUGUGUGUUCAUGGAUUUGGCUCGUACAGGCAGACUCACGGUUCGUGGAUUUGACUGAUACAGGAAACAAACGACUUGACACGGAAGUUUGCGGUGAGGUGAGAGGUCAGCUAUGCGGCUGGAAAGUACCCAGACUUGGAGGACACGGAGGUUUGGCCCAGGAAAAGGCCCGGUAAGGGGUCUCAUAGCGCCGGCAAGAACGAACAGCCAGUUCUGGAGAGGAGGUGAGUAGUCUCAGACUGCGUGAUGGGAGUUGUUGGAGCAGGGAGAACUUGGUCUGAUCAUCGUGGGAGUCUCUGACCACAUGUGGCUGGAACAGCGUGAUGGGAGUUGUUGGAGCAAGGAGAACUUGGUCUGAUCAUCGUGGGAGUCUCUGACCACAUGUGGCUGGAACAGCGUGAUGGGAGUUGUUGGAGAAGAGAGAACUUGGUCGGAUCAUCGUGGGAGUCUCUGACUGCAUGUGGCUGGAACAGCAUGAUGGGAGUUGUUGGAGCAGGGAAAAACUUGGUCCAAUCGGCGUGGGAGCCACAGUAGGCCCAGACCAGCUUGUUUGGAGUUUUAGGCAGUGUGUGUUGAUGACCUUUGAACCGGGCAGCAUCAGCCCUGUGGUGUAGGGGGCCUGAGUUUAAAUAGCCGGGUAACCCCUCCCACAACUUUAGGCUAUGCCUUCCAAUAUAUACAUAUAUAUAUACAUACAUACAUACAUACAUACAUACAUACAUAUAUAUAUAUAUAUAUAUAUAUGUGUAUGUGUAUGUGUGCCACAUGCAAACAUACAUACACACAUAUACACAAUUCAAGAAAUGAGCACACUCACUGACUCACACUCGUCCUGCCACCGGUCACGCGUUGCACAAUGUCAUUACACACCCGCACACAACGCACACUUCUGGGUUAUCCGGGACUGGUAACUAUCAGCUAACACUUAUAUUGGUUAAGUCACUUAUUAAUUAAUAUUUACUUUUUUUUUCUUUGUUAUAUAAGGUAUCUUGGGGUACUGUGCUGUAUCUUGAUAAAGACUGAAAGGUCGGAAUAUUGAUCUUUUUUUUGCCAAAAUUUAAUAUACUGAUUUUGUUUUGUGGAAUCCUGGGAGUGCGCUCUUUUCUUGAAUUGGAUAUAUCUUCUGCGCUGUGCAGCAUAUAUAUAUAUAUAUAUAUAUAUAUAUAUAUAUAUAUAUAUAUAUAUAUAUAUAUAUAUAUAUAUAUAUAUAUAUAUAUAUAUAUAUAUUUUGUUUACUUAGGAUGAAUGCCAGACAAACCAAGUAUUGUUUAUAUAUACAGUUGAAUAUGAAUCCCAUAAAAAAUAAAAGAAAUGUGUCAAGGUGUUGUCAGGCAUAUUGUAACCUUUUUUUGCAGCAUUGACGCAGUAAAGGUUUCUUUCUGCCAACUCAACCAUGCAGCUCAUUUUUGUUCAAGUAUCGUCGUAUUUUGCUCCUUGAAACAAUCACACCGUCCUUUUCUAGAUCAGCCUGUAUUUCUCCUAAGGUUAUAUGUGGGUAUUUUUUAAUUGUAUCCCGAACAAUUCUUCUGGCAGUUGUGGCUGAAAUCUUUCUUGGUCUAUCUGACCUUGGCUUAGUAACAAGAGAUCCAGAAAUAUUUCACUUCUUGAAAAGUAAUUGAACAUUACUGACGGGCAUAUCCAAGUCUUUCGAUAUCUUUUUAUAUUCUUUUCCAUCUUUAAAAAGUUUCAUUACUUUGUUACUCAGGUAUUUUGUUAGUUCUUUUCUGCUCCCUAUGGUUCAGUAUCUAGCCUGCUCAGUGCAACCAUGCGAGAGCUAACAAACUCAUUGACUAUUUAUACACAAACACUAAUUACAAUUUAAAAAGCCACAGAUGUGGGAAAUUAAUCUUCAAUUGGCAUUUUAACCUGUGUGUGUCACCUUGCUUGUCUGUUACAAGGCCACACAUUGAAGUGUAUGUAAACUUUUGAUCAGGGCCAUUUGGGUGAUUUCUGUUAUCAUUAUGAUUUAAAAAGGAGCCAAACAACUAUGUGAUAAUGAAUGGCUUCAUAUGAUCACUGUCCUUCAAUAAAAAACAUUUUUUUGCAUGAUCACUCAUAUUUUAAAAAUCAUGCCAUAAUUUCUGCGGGGGUAUGCAAACAUUUGAGCACAACGAUAGACAGACCGACAGACAGAUAAAGAGAGAGAGAGAAAUAAAUGAAAAAAAAAUGUUUGCAGACAUACAAGCAAAUGCAUUUAAGUUGCACCGAUACAACUUAAAUGCAUUUUAUAGGUUUUUGCCUCAUUAAUGUGCAGUAUUUUUGUAUGAUCAAAUCUUUAUAGUUUUUGCACUAAAAAUCAAUGUUUUGUAGAAUGCUGCACCAGAAACCUGUCUUUUCAUCGACACCCUUUCAUUUCAGGAAAUACUUCUUUAUCAGUGUAAAUACACAGCUCAGCCACUUACAGUACUGGGUAAUCUGAGUAAGCAUGCAGUAGAAGGAGAGUACACCUAGGCACACAUUUAUGUGGUAAUCUACUAAAGUCCAAUGACAAAACCAUCCUAUUGCAGAUAGGGUAUUUGGACUGCAAAGUCUGGACAUUGUUCAUGCAACUUAACAUGUCUGGAUUUUGUAUUUUAGGCCACAGCCGGGGAGCUGAAAUCUGGAACAAUUGCUGCAAAUCAAAAGAGACACACAGAAGGGCUGGGAAAGGGGAGAAAGAUACAAAGGGGCUGGAGGGAGAAAGAGAAACACACAAAGGUGCUGAUAGGGAGAAACAACAUAUAAAGAAACUGAGAGGAGUAAAAAUCACUUAAAGGGUCUGGGGGUAAGAGACACACAAAGGGGCUGGUAGACGGAUUGAGGCCUGACACUUGAGCAGCAUGGAUGCCAUUCUUGAGCUGCUGUAAGUUGGUGAUAAAUCUAUUAGAAAUCUAGCUCUACCUUCUCUACCAGACAGUGCUGGGAACCUUUCGUGUUUUCUCAAAUGGAGAGGGAAGCUUGCCGUAGGCCUGGAGCCUACCCGCUCAUCCGACUGUUGAGGCCACCACGCUUGUUUCCAUGCCUACCUUGGAGGUUCUGAACCCAUCCCUUAUGCACAUGAUACUGUUUAGACCUACCUGUUUUAUUAUUUGUAAUCGUUUACCAAGCUAACUAACAGGAGCCAUCCAAACAGUACAGCAACUAUGGGUUAAAGAUCCCAUAAAUCUCAUGCGGAAGUGACUAGAGAUAUGGGGGCCUUAUUGCAUUGCCCAAGGCCUAGACGAAAGUGACCAUGCCAGAAUCAGAUGCUUGUUCCGCAUGCUCUGAAAUUACUCCAGAGAAACCCACAAAGCUCAUACUGCCUCUGAAAACCCCUACAGUACCGCCAGAUGGGGGUGCAUUCAUUCAGGAUACUAAACUUGAUAUCCUCAAACUUUUUCAAGCAGUGAAUGACCAUGUACAAGCCUCCAAAGAGGAUAUCCUGGAUGUGUGGCAGGAGGUACAGGGACUCAAGGAAAACCUACUCAAACUUCAGUCUUCCUACACUGCAUUACUCACUAAGCUGGAUCUCGACAAAUAUCGUAACUGGUGCAUUAAUAUUAAGAUCAGAGUCAUUCAAGACACAAUCAAUCCGACUGAAUUUCCCCACUAUCUUCGGCGUCUUACUACCACAAUACUACCACACAUUUACUUGAAAAAGCUCAUGUUUGAUGGCUGCUUCAGAAUCAGCCAAUGUAGACAGAAUGUAAUAAUCUAAUGCCACUUGCUCACAGACAAGAAUCAUAUCUUGGCAGCAGUGAGAGGCAAGAUUCCUAUCGACUUUGAGUCCUCUCAACUUGCUUUCUUCCAGGACUUGGCUAGAAAUAUGCUGCAAUGAAGAUGGGUAUAGUGACUAGCUGGCUGCGUGCUGCAGGUGUACACAGUAUUACUGGUAUUUGUUCCCAUAGCAUGUGAAUGCUCUAACACACAGAUGAUUACAAAUCUACUGGAUGCGCAAGAUACUGUUUAGACCUACCUGUUUUAUUAUUUGUAAUCUUUUACCAAGUUUUAGAGUAGGGCAUACUAUAUAGUACACUUGGAAUUACAUGGCAUAGUUUGGUGAUGGGUUUGGCCUCUUGCGACCUCUACACUAUCUCAACUUUCUCUCUCAUGUAGUCUACGCUCUUAUUGUCUUAUUGUCUUAAAGAAACUUGGUAUAUGUUGUUCAUGUUUUCAUGAAUGUUUUCAACUAAUGUUUAUAUAUUAUGUCAUCUGAACUCUUGCUUCUAGGUUACCAUAAGACCUCAAUAAAAAAGAGAUUGGCAAAAAAAUAAAGGGGUUAGGAGGAAUUAAGGGGCACACUACAUGGAACACUAGGGAUAAGGUAAAGGAGGUGUAAGAUACAAAUGGGGAUAAGCAAUACUAAAGAAGGCAAGACAUUUAAAAGAGUGGAUAAGAAACACAAAAGGAGGAAAGAUUCAAAAGGGGGUUAAGAGACACACAUGUGAAGAUAAUUAUUUUGAGGGGGGGCAAAAUGUGUCUAUGGCUGUGUAGCCAAAAUUACUUGCACCGGUCUUGCCAGCAGGCAAAUAGAACUUAAAAUUAUAAUAAGUUUUAAAGAAGGCAAGCGAAUAAUAAUUUGUGAAUGUGCAUUUGGUCCUUAUUUUUAUUAAAUCUGGUGCUUUGUAAAUCCCAUGAAAGCAUCCAUUUUAAUGAAGACACUGAAUGCAUCUGGUCAAUUGCUACAGAUGAGAAACCAAAUUCUCAUCUGUGGAACUCACUUCCCUCUGUUAGAUGCUCACCCAGUCUCCACUCCUUCAAAAAAUCAUUAACAACCCACUUCUUCGUAAAAGCGUAUCAAUUAAACUGUUAAUAGCUCCCGGCUGAUUCCUCUUUUGUAACUGUCAUUAGUCUAAUACUAUCCUUACCUUUUGUGUCACUUUACCUCACUCCCUCUAGCAUGUAAGCUCAUUGAGCAGGGCCAUCAACCCCUCUGUUCCUGUGUGUUCAACUUGUCUGGUUACAACUACGUGUCUGUUUGUCCACCCACUGUAAAGCGCUGCAGAAUUUGUUGGUGCUAUAUAAAUAAUAAUAAUAUACUAUAUAGGAUGCAAAAUUUAUUCCGGAUAGCAUGUAUUCACACUUUGGGGAUUAUGUGCUCAUUCUAAUUGUUUGUUGUAAGAUAGGGUUAAGCCCAAAGACACCUCUGGAGUGUCAACUAGUGAGCAGGUUCUAGGAAUUUUUUUUGUCUGGUUCCUGAAUAUUUUCUGUUUUUUCUCUUAAGUAAAUUUAGCUGCUCCCUAGUUUAGUGGUGAACAGGCUGAGAAUUUGCAUAAAAUGCAGGAAAUUCAUACAUUUUUUUUAUUAUUAUUAUUUGUACUUCAUUUAAUGCAUACCUAAUACAAAAAAAUAAUGGUUAAACUCUCAAUCUUUAAUCCUGUCGACUACUUUCAGACAGGCAGAUGUAUAUAAAACAAGUCAUUAUAAGAGAUAGGGGUAAUUCAGAAAUGACAUUAAAUAGCCAAUACGUGAUAAAUGAUAAAAAGCACCAAGGCUGGGGCUAAUAAUAAUAAUAAUAAUAAUAAUACAUUUAAUGCUAAUAUCAGAGAAAGGUAGAGCACAUUUACAGACAAAGUUUAGAAUGAUUACAAUUUUGGUUGUGGUUAGACAUAAUUGAAAAGAGACAAUGAUUUGCCAAAUUACAAUUCAAGCAAGAUCAAUACACAUAGAAUAGGAUGUGACAAAAAGAAAAUUAGUAAUUGAUGUGAAAAAGUAAUAUUCUUUGGAAAGGCUACAUUCUCUGUAGUUACCACUACUUUAACUUAAUCCUGUGAAAUUGAGAUUCCCAACAACAAGUAAAAAUGGACCUAAUCAGUAACGAUUAGACAAUUAAAGGCAGCCAUUGUAUCUUGUCUAUUGUAAGUGACUUUUGAAUAAUACUAUGUGACAUAAUUAGAUGAUUGUAAUAUAUCAUUAACAUUACAUGCACACUUUAAGAAUGAGAUUAUUAUUAACACAAUUCAUGAAAGAACUAUGUGAAUAACAGGCUUAUAAAGCAUAAUUAGAAUGGAAUAUUCUGCAAUUUGUGUCAUGAAUGCCAUAAAUAAUAUUUUCACUAUGCAUCUAACAACUAGUGAUUCAGAUUACAGAUAUGUCAUCUAAUAUCGCUACCUUAAAGUAAAGACAAUUCAAACGGAAGUUUGUAUAAAUAUUUAUAUAUAUAUAUAUAUAUAUAUAUAUAUAUAUAUAUAUAUAUAUAUAUAUAUAUAUAUAUAUAUAUAUAUAUAUAUAUAUAUAUAUAUAUAUAUAUAUAUAUAUAUAUAUAUAUAUAUAUGUGCAUUCUUAAACAUUGCUGGUAAAAAUGUGCUCAGCAUAAUAUAUGUUACUGUUGUGCACUACAGAGCCUCACUGGCAAAUUCUAUUAUGUAAUGAAUUUAUUUGAGGCAAGAUAAAAAAAAAACAUGUUUGUACUAUGUAUGUAUUAUAUACACACACAAACCUAUAUAUAUAUAUAUAUUUGUGCUCGGAAUUUAAAUAUGUAAUGGAUAGUAUCUGUGAGCAAAGUUGGUUGUGGUGUGCCGAAACCAACAUACGAGUGGGCCUGUAAAUAAAAGAGGGCCCACCAAGGAUAAUGUAGUUAAAACAGGGUGUAGGUGGGUGGGGACAAUCAGCUGAGCGGCAGCGGUGAGUAGGGGCUGGGAGUUUAAGUAGGGGACUUACUCCUCCCACAAAUUCAGGCCUAAUGGCCUUUCUACUUGUGCUCGGAAUUUAAAUACGUAAUGGAUAGUAUCUGUGAGCAAAGUUGGUUGUGGUGUGCCGAAACCAACGUACGAGUGGGCCUGUAAAUAAAAGAGGGCAAAAGAUAAAUUUGAGAAAAUACACACUUUAUUGCAUUUUACAAGACCAAGUUCCUGAAAGCUUGGCGAAGCUCUUUCUCCGGUUGCGGAAUAUAUGCGUUAUAUAUGGAGGAUUUCCAUCGCCCCAGCCUUUUGAUGAUGUGGACCGGUGCGUUUGUGCUAGAGGCUGCUGAGGCGGCUCCUAUACGGAAGGAGUGCCCGGAGAAUGCAGCCGGGUUGUGUCUGAGCUUAGAUAACAGGGUUCUGACAUGUAACAUCAAUUUUGCCGUGGUAAGCGGGUGCCCUUGUAAUGUUAAGAGCGGAGAGUCUGGCAGGUGAGCGUGAAGAGUUGACCGUAGUUGGUCGAGAACUUUCACCGGACACCAGGCAUUAUCAGUAGGGAAGAGAGGAAUUAUUGUAGGGUGUAGUGAUCGGUUGGUUUUAGUGGUAGGGAUAGAAAGUAGGUAGUGAUCCUCUAUCUUGGUGAGGUGUGAAGUUUUAAGGCUUAGCGCGAUAUCUCCUUGACAAACCACGGUGAACUCUCUAGGUCUGAGAAAACCAUAGAAAGCGAGAUAUAUAGCAGAUUUGAUCACCGUAUUGGUGUUGCUAUCAAAUGGGGCUGUGUCAAGGAGAUUGCUAAGUGACCUGAAGAUAGGCCAGUCUAUAGGUAAUCGAGUAGAGGUGAAACCUUUGAUAUACCUUUCAAGACCUUUUUAAUGGGGUAUGAUGACAAAAAAAGGAGUGCUGUUAGGAAAAUUGGUGAGGCUGUGGUGCUGAACCCAGGUGAGGUAAAGUUUAAUGGUGUUGUGCGACAGUUUAAGGUGUAGGUGGCAGAAAGAGGCAAAAGUCACCAUGGUUUGGAUAGAAAAGUCACCUUGUAGACCGAAUUCUGCAGUGAAUUUGUUAAAUAUGUUAAGUGCUCUAUUGUAAGUGAUAGCAGUGUUGAGUGAUAAUGCUUGGUGAGUGAGUGAUCUAGCGUGAAGCAAGAGUGUGCUUAAUCCAAGAUUAGUUCGUGAAACCGUGGUGUCCUGGAUGGCUGUUGGUGAGCCGUUGGGAGUGCCUGAGCACAUACUGAGAACAUACUAAGUGAAACUGACCGGAUGCUGCCAGCCAGGUCAACUUGCGAAUCAGCCGCAUGAUGAUCAGGGAUGAUGAGCGCCCUUUGUUAAUGAUAUCGCAAGCUGCCGAGUUAUCUGAGUAGCAUUUUACUGCCUUGCCGGACCAGAGAUGACCCCAGGUGUGUGCGGCCGCCACAAUGGGGUAAAUUUCAAAUAGGGCUGAGGUCUCCCUGAAUCCUGGCAAGGCAUCCGUCACAGUGGGCCAGUGGCCCCUAAACCAGUGGUUCCCGAAAAUGGCUGCGAAACCGGUGUUGGCUGCUGCAUCUGUGUGGAUGAUGGGUGGAGAGGUGGAGAGAGGGGGGAUAAACAUGGAGAUACCAUUCCAGUCUUUCAAAAACUUCCCCCACAUAGCUAAGUCAGCCUUGGCGUGGGGGUCCAAAUAAACUGUGCCGGAGUCCGGGACUCCGUGGAGCAGGCAAAGAAGUCUGGAUAUGAAAGACCUUCCCUGCGGAAUGAUGCGCAUGGCGAAGUUCAGAGAUCCGAGAAGGGACUGAAGUUCUCUCCUGGUGCAAACGUCAUUCCGCAGGAACGUGUCUAUCUCCCCUCUCAAGCGUGAAAGUUUGUCGUGGGGAAGGCUAGCUCUGAGUUUGACAGAGUCAAGCUCUAUGCCUAAAAAGGUCAACUUUGUUGUGGGUCCUAUAGUUUUGGCUGGGGACAAAGGGACUCCAAGUGUGGAAAAUAGUGCGGUAGUACUUUUGAUUGCUGAGGGUGUUGAUGACCCUGGCUCUAUCAGUAGAAAGUCAUCUAGAUAGUGAAUAAUGGAGUGACACCUGAUGACGUUCAGAAGCAGCCAGCAUAGUGACUCUGCGAAAAUGUUGAAAAGUUUGGGGCUGCUUCGAGAACCGAAAGUGAGUCGUGUUGAGAAGUAAUAAUUCCCUCGCCAUUUAACACCGUGUAAGUGCCAGAGUGAGGGGUGUAUGGGCAGUAAUUUAAAGGCGUUAGUGAUGUCUGUUUUGCUGCGCCAGGGUCGAUUACCAGAUGUCAUGAUGGACUGUAUGGCGUCGUCGAUGGUAACAUACUGAAGUGAGAAUUCGUCUACUGGAAUAAGUGGGUUUAUGCUUGGAACAAAAGAGGAGUGCGGUGCCGAUAAAUCGAUAAUAAGACUUUUUUUAUUAGAAUAUUUGUGAAUAGCAAUACCAAUAGGGUUAGUGCGCCAGGAGGAAAACGGUGAAGAGGUGAAGGGUCCGAUCAUGAAACCGUUAGUGGUUUCUGAGGAAAUGAGAGUGUCUAUAGCGACUGGGUCUAAACAUGCUGACUGGAGAUUAGGACAUUCUAGUGUACCUGGGGGAAUGGCUACUAUGCCUGUGUGAAACCCUUGUGAGAAACCUGUGGUGAGAAAAUCCACCAAGUGCCUGCUGGGGUGAGACCUUAGAUAAAAAACCAGGUUGUCGAUAUUUAUGUCGGUUAGUCAUUUGUUUGGUGACAACCUGUCUGGACACAUGGUCUUGGUAUAUGCCCUGAAACAUAUGGAGCAGAUGUGCAAUAAUCUACAGGCGCUGAAACUGCAGGAGCCUGCGUUGAAAUUAUUGCACACCUGCGCCUUACCUAAAAAGGAGAUGGGCCUACCCAGCUUAUCCCGAAGACCACCCGCUGGCUUGUUGUGAGGGGUGAAAGUGGAGUGAGGUGUGAACGUGGGGUGAGGGGUGGGAGUGGAGGUGGUGGGAUCUGAUUUGACGGGACAUAAGUCCGCCAUGUGGGAUGUAGAAUUACAGAUGGCACAAGCCGGGGGCCUGAGUCCAGCGAAGUGGCGACAGAAAAGUUCUGUGUCCAUCUGACCCCAGUUCAUUCUAAUGUUGAACUGCUUGAGAUGGGUCGCCGCCUUCGCUGAAACUGACUUGUGGUAGUCAUAGAAGGAAGAGUCCCCGUACUUGAUGCCUAGAUCCACUACCUUGUGGAGAUAGAGAUCUAGCUCUUCUCUCCUAUGGGGAUACACCGUGCAAAUGACGUUGCGGUAUAUCCCGAAAGCUAUCACGAACUGGGGGAUAGACAAUUUUUUAUUGAGCCUGGGAUUCCUCGUUUUGAGCACGACUGAAAUUUCACCAUAGUUGUAUGCCUUGUUCUCGAGUAUAUCCUGAGAGGCUAUGAGUAAAGACACCAGACACACAUCCUUCCCGUCUAGGAUAUCUUUCCUGAUAGAGUCUGGGACGGAGUGUGCUGGUGACUCGAAUGGUGUGAUGGCUGUGCCAGGUGCUGGAGGGGGGAGUAUAGGGGGGCAUGUAGGUAUAGCAGGUACAGCCGUGGUAGAGACUGGGACUUCGGUGUUAGUACCUGAGGAGGAGAUGGCGCUCUCCACCUUAGAUAGCCUGCUAUUGAGGGUCUGUAGAUUGGCCAAGAUAUCUGCCAGGGUAUCCUGGGUGGCCGUGCUGUUUCUUGGUGGUUGUCCUUGAGAGCUAGUUCCAGGCCUAGGCUUGGGGGCUUGGUGGGUAAGCAGCCUGUAAAGUUCUGCCUUUCUAGCUGUGGCCGGAAAGGGGAUUCCCCUGAGCCUAAGCUCGGCCGUGAUUUUGGGAAUAGUCCAUGCUCUCAAGGACAUGGGGGUUGAAAGAGUGAGUGAUUCGCCUGGAGACACGGGUCUGAUUGGCGUGAAUGGUGUUUCUUCUGUCAGUUCUUCGGUUGGAAUUGGUUCUUGGGACAUUCUAAAAAGGAAUGAUUAUAUGAAAGAUAUAUUAGAAGGGGUAAGUAGGGGGGUAUGGGGAGUGGUGUAUCUGGAAGAACUGGACUGUAAUGCUAGAUGCCGAGGCGAAAAACUUAACUGUUGAAUGACUGGAUAGGUGAGGCCCUGCUAAUGCCAAGUGGCGGUGAGAGGCUCUACCUAUGAUUUGGCUUAUGACGUAGGUGCCACAGACGUGGUGGCGGGAUAUUGGCCUCUCGGUGACGAUAAGAUAAAUAAAAACGUGUGGCCGUGACAGGUGAGGCCCUAACUAGAGCCCUGUAGUAGGGCAUGCGAGGCUUAUAACUACGGUUUGGGCGUGGGGCCGUACCUCCGUGUUGAGGUGGGGUGGGGGUGAUAGGCCUCGCAGGAUCAGAUUUCCUGAUAGGGUGGGCUAAGGCAUUAGCCUGUGCCCUAUAGCCAGUUCGAUUGUAUGCUUAAGGGUAAAGUGAGAGGACUGGAGUGGUGUGUGGAUACUAACCUUGACUGGUCGCAAAUGGUAUCUAGAGCCUCCUGAUAAGUGUAGAGAGUCUUGUCUUAAUGCUGUCUUUGAGGAAGAAUCCUGAGGGUUUAAGACAGAUGUUGAUGUAUUUAUACAUAUCGUGAUGUCGUAUGAAUAGUAUUGGGAGAAGGUUUGUUAGGGACGCAACGUGAGAUCCUGCAUUGAGGGAUCUGGGAGGUUAGGUGUAAGAAUGGGAUGAUUUUAGAUAUUAGUGAGAAGGCAGAAUGAGGCCUUGGGGUAGCGAAC